RNAcentral lists this long non-coding RNA (51138 nucleotides) under Ananas comosus (pineapple). Its description in RNAcentral is "long non-coding RNA (ACOM_LNC023033)". Lineage: Eukaryota; Viridiplantae; Streptophyta; Magnoliopsida; Poales; Bromeliaceae. The record is from RNAcentral.
GGGCCACCUUUUUCGUUUUUGCAGAUUCGGUCCGCUUUUUUCGUCGCCUGACCAAAAUGCCCCUCCUAUACAAUAGCCUCCCGCACGUAUUUCUUGACAUACGUAUACUACCCUACUAUCUUGCCGUACGGUCUGGCGCGCAUUAAAUAACCCGCUUAUUUCUCGGAACCCGGACCACAUCCGCCCCCGCUAUUCGCCGGCCCCGCUGUUUCCUGUUCGGCUUAAAACUUUACGAAAUUUUCGAACGCUAUUGACAAAUAGCGCGCGCCCCGCAACAGGGAUAAUAGUGUAACGCGAAGAGCUACGAAAUGAGAAAUGGUGCAAACGACCUCUAUAACAGUGCAUCCUACCCUCGUUCCAGUGCAACCAAACCAUAAUCAAUCAAAAUUUUACUUUCUCCAUUUCUUAAUAUAAUCUGAACUUAAAAGUGCAAAUGAACGGCGUCCCCUCCAAAUGCAGGCGAGGAAGUUCUGCGGCGGGGCUGGAUGGUCGGCGAUGUGCGACAAAAGAGUCGGCAGGCGAGGAAGAUCUGCGGCGGGGCUGGACGCUCAACGGCGGGGUUCGGAGUCCGAGAGGCGCGACAUAACGGCUAAACGAUUGUGUAAAGUUUUCCUAUAAAAGAUCACGCGUCCUUUUAACUGUUAAAUAAGUUCACAGUUAAGCGCGAAUAAUAGUGCAAGGCAGUGUUAAUUACAGAAUAAUAUUUUUCAAAAGAGUGCAAAGAAGCUUGUAAGAGUGCAAUACGGGAAAAUAACAGUGUAAUGGAUUUUAUCUACGAGUACAACGAAACAUGUAAGAGUGCAAUACGGUUAUAAUACCAGUGCAAUUUUUCGGAACAGACUCGUACUAAGCUUUUAAGAGUGCAAUACGGUAGUAUUCCUCAGCGUAUUCCUCAACCGAUGUAUACCAUGCCGUACUGUCUGGCGCUCAUUAAAUGCGCCGCGUCCGCUGUACGCAACCCAACCUCCCUCGAUCAUUACUCGGAACUCGGACCACAUCCGCCCCCGCUAUUCGCCGGCCCCGCUGUUUCCUGUUCGCAAGCUAUUGACAAAUAGUGCGCGCCCCGAUAAUAGUGUAACGCGAAGAGCUACGAAAGGAGAAAUGGUGCAACAGACGUCUAUAACAGUGCAUCCGUAGCUUCGUUCCAGUGCAACCAAACAAUGACAGUCAAAAUUGACUUAUUUUAUUUCAUAAUGUAAUCUUAAGCUAAUAGUGCAAAUGAAAGGACAUGGGGGCCGUCGAUAAUAUACGGGAGGAGUGGGAGGAGGCUCUACGACCUAUUUUAAAGUGAUGUUACAGUAAUACGGCUCUUGAGGUGAGCAUUAGCCACUUUCUGUUCACGACAAAAACUAAUAUUUCGCGAGCAUUAAUAGUCGGUUACCUAAAUGGUUACGCAACGUAGGGUAAAGGAGUACCUCGACUCGAUUCCUCAAAUGCCUGUUCGUUUUCUAUAAAAGCACUCUCCAGGGACUUGGGCAACUGGCGACGAGGAAACGGCGAUAAUGGAGGAUCACGAGACGAGAGGAGAGACCCGCAGGAGACGUCGACGAAGAAGAGGCUCGGUCGUAAGUGUAUCAUCCAGUAAGGAGGCGUGAUUCGCACUAUCUGAAGUGCUGUGCUUUAUUUGCGACGAGGUACCACCCUAUACCAGGUUCUUAAAUUCUUCCAGAUCUUUAUUCUUNCGACAUAACGGCUAAACGAUUGUGUAAAGUUUUCCUAUAAAAGAUCACGCGUCCUUUUAACUGUUAAAUAAGUUCACAGUUAAGCGCGAAUAAUAGUUCAAGGCAGUGUUAAUUACAGAACAAUAUUUUUCAAAAGAGUGCAAAGAAGCUUGUAAGAGUGCAAUACGGGGAAAUAACAGUGUAAUGGAUUUUAUCUACGAGUGCAACGAAACAUGUAAGAGUGCAAUACGGUAGUAAUACCAGUGCAAUUUUUUGGAACGGACUCGUACUAAGCUUUUAAGAGUGCAAUACGGUAGUAUUCCUCAGCGUAUUCCUCAACGGAUGUAUACCAUGCCGUACUGUCUGGUGCUCAUUAAAUGCGCCGCGUCCGCUGUACGCAACCCAACCUCCCUCGAUCAUUACUCGGAACUUGAACCACAUCUGCCCCCGCUAUUCGCCGGCCCUGCUGUUUCCUUUUCGAAAGCUAUUGACAAAUAGUGCGCGCCCCGAUAAUAGUGCAACGCGAAGAGCUACGAAAGGAAAAAUGGUGCAACAGACGUCAAUAACAGUGCAACCGCAUUUGUAACAGUCCAAAGUUUACUUAUUUUAUUUUUAAUUUAAUCUUAAGGUAAUAGUGCAAAUGAAAGGACAUGGUUACGUCGAAUAUAGCGGUGUGAAGUAGGAGGAGGCUCCACCACCUCUUUAUUGCCGCCGCCGCCGCGGCGCUAUACCUCCGCGCGCCAGGGUUAAUAGUGCAAGGCGAAGGCUCUGCGGCAGGAGAAACGGUGGAACAAACCUUCUAACAUGCAACCGUAGCGUCGUUCCAGUGCAAGGAGACUGCUAGGAUGAGGAGGAGGGUCGAUCGAAAGGUUACGAUCCAGCAACGAGGCGAUCAGAAAGAACGAUCCAGCAACGAGGCGUUAGGGUUGAUUCGCACUAUCUGGAAUGUUUCAUUUGUUUUGGGCAAUUUGGAGCUCCGCUCUACCAUGAAAAAGACAGUACAGACAGAAAAAUAUAGAACUAAUUUCAUAAGGGUGUAACUAUGUCACAAUAAUAGUGCAACGUAGGGUAAAAAAGUAGAACUAAUUUCAUAAGGGUGCAACUAUGUCACAAUAAUAGUGCAAUGGAUUCAUGGAAUAGCAAACACACGGUCUGGCGAAUAGCGUGGAUAUACGCUCCCAGCGCAGCGCACAUUUAAUGCUUCUAAAAGUACGUAGCGUAACGUCUACAUUAUAGCGUCUCUUCUAUGAGGAUAGGAGACACCGGUGGUUAUAUCGAAGCUGCCUCGGAAAAAGUAUAAGCGACUAUUUCGAAUGUUACUCGUAAAGGCGUUGCACUGUUAUGACGAAUGUUACUCUAAUAUUGCGCCAGUAUUGCACUUUUUUUGCAUUUUGUUACUUGGCGUUGCACUAUUAUUACAGCCUAUUGUUGCACUAUUUUUAUACGAUUGAAUGAUUUAUUGAUAUUUUAAAGUGAUGUUACAGUAAUACGGCUCUUCAGGUGAGCAUUAGCCACUUUCUGUUCACGACGAAAACUAAUAUUUCGCGAGCAUUAAUAGUCGGUUACCUAAAUGGUUACGCAACGUAGGGUAAAGGAGUACCUCGACUCUAUUCCUCAAAUGCCUGUUCGUUUUCUAUAAAAGCACUCUCCAGGCACUUGGGCAACCGGCGACGAGGAAACAGCGAUGAUGGAGGUACACGAGACGAGAGGAGAGACCCGCAGGAGACGUCGACGAAGAAGAGGCUCGGUCGUAAGUGUAUCAUCCAGUAAGGAGGCGUUAAGAUUGAUUCGCACUAUCUGAAGUACUGUGCUUUAUUUGCGACGAGGUACCACCCUAUACCAGGUUCUUAAAUUCUUCCAGAUCUUUAUUCUUAUCGAUAGAUUCUAAAUUUAUCCUGACUAUACUGUCUCUUUACGAACAAUGUAGUGCCAAAACGUCAAUGCGAAAGUGCCUAGUGCAAAUAAAGCUCCGACAUACCCCUCCGAGCGAGCCCUCUCCUCUUUGCCAUUUCAUCUUCCGAUAGAGGAACCUCAGAGUAUGUUAUGUGCUCGUGGAUUUGCGGCAAGCUUUGAUGAUGAUUCAGUACUUUUGUAAAAUGAAGGCCUAAUUUUGUUCAUUAAUAAUGUUGAUGCGAAAGUUACAGUUGAUGUUGUGAACAUCGUAUUGUAUGCAAAACGUGUAUUAUAUGUUGCGUUUUCGUCAAAGACAAUGUAUAAUUUGCUUGUAUAUUAAUAAAGAGAUCCCUUUCUUUACAUUGUUACGCCUUAUAGUAAAUAUAUCUGUAUAAUUCAUUAUAUUCAUGCACCGCUUUUAGCUGUAUUACACUAUUAGCGCAGAUUUUACACUAUUAUUUCCGACGAUGUUGCACUUUUACAUUCAUAUUAUAAACAAAUUCAGAGAAAGUCUUACACUGUUUUUUGGCCACUUGCAGUACUUAGGAAACAAUGUUACAAAUAAUUUUAAAAAAGUUCUUGCACCAAGGAAUUUUCUUGUAGUCGUUAGACAGUUGUUGCACUAUUUAGGCAAUUUAUUACACUAAUUGGUGAAAGACCACACGAUUAAUUUUACAACGUUAAACGCGAUUAAUAGUGCGACGCGCUGUAAAAGAGCUCAAAUAGGCCCGUAAUGGUGUAAUAUUAUCGUAGUAAUCGAUCAAUGGUUUGAAAGUAAUGGUGCAACGAGUCAACAAUUUUUAGGACUGGCUUAUGAUGGUCCAUAUAUUUUAUAAUACACCUUCAAUAGUAUGUUGAGAAUGGUGCAAUAAGAAGUUUAAUCAGGGAUUAUAUCCGGGAUGAAUUCUCCCGAAGAAAGUUCGAUGUGUCGCCAGUGUCUCUUCCCCUCUCUUACCGGCCAGUGCCUCUUCACUACUUACUCGAGUAUAACGAUCACGUCAAUGUACUAUUCUGUCGCUACAUUUAAUGCCACUAUCUUUCACAUUCUCGCUGUUGGCUGAUUGUUGUGCUAAUGUGUCAGGUUUUGUAUGGACUCUUACGCUGUUUCGUGAGAAGGUUGGCCCAUAUUAGCAUCCCACUAACUUUCAAACUCCUGUUGCUCCCCAUUACCCUAUUCUAAUCUUUUAAGGCCUCUAAACCGCCUUACGUCGGUCAUUGCCCUAACAGCCGCAUUUCUAUUUAUAACCACCACCGUCCACUUCGAAUCCCAUCGGCGAAUACACGACCUUUCUAAAUCUACAUUCCUUGCAAUGGCGUCGAAGUCGUCGCAAUCUACUGAUUCAUCGUCUGCCGACGGCCGUAAGGUGCCUUCGCGGCCGGUUGCCGGCGGCCCCGCCGGUAGAUUCAUUGUGAAUUCUCGAUGUUUCGUCGGAGCGUACAAGAAGACUUACGCGUCGAUUGUGAAGCUGCAUCAUCUUCCCGUCAUCCAGAGUACGAUAUUUAGUAAUAUCUUACACUUCCCCGACAUCACCUCAGAUAGGCUAUUGCUGGAGUUCAUCCUCCGUCAUUGGAAUGAGGGUGUAGAAUUCGAAAUAGGCCCUCAAGUCAUACGCUUCACGGCCAAUAAGGUGGCAGUUCUUCUUGGAUUACCCCUGUCGGUCCAAGCUCUAGACCUAAGCCUCAAUUGGGGGUCGGAUAUUCAAAAUCGUUUCCUUGAGAGGAAGAAGGUCGACCGCAAGAACCUGGAGGUGGUUUUGAAAGAGAUGUCACCCAAGAAGGACGAAGAGGACAUUACCGACUUCGUGAAAUUACUUAUUCUCUACUUUUUUUGUUGUAUUCUUUUCACCAAUACCAACAAUCUGUCCCAAAGGACUGGUGGGUCUUGUCGAUGAUCUCCCCGCUCUGGCACGCUACAAUUGGCCGGAAGCAGUACACCGGCUUAUAAUCGACAGCCUAUGCUCCGCCGCCGUUAAAUUGCAAGCUAAUUCGAAGCGGGAAGGAUACGUUUUUGGAUGCACUCCGCUUCUCCCAGUAAGUCUCUAUUGUUCAAGUAAUCGUGCAAAUCCAAUUUCUAAAAUAGUGCAAAUUAAGCUAUUAUAUACUUAAUCAUGUAACUGUGUGAACUCUAGUGUAAUAUCUUUCUGAUAUUAGUGUAAUAAUAUCUUUGCUAUCAGGUGUGGAUAUAUGAGCACACUGGGUACAGAUGCCCUCUGCUUUCCCGCCGCGCAAUAUUGCCUCGUAUCCAGAGAUGGGAUACGAUUAGAUGGACUCGUCGUUCGCGGGGAUCGUCGAGAGUGAAGGAGGAUUUUAACUUCACUACGUGCCGCCGCAGGCUCGAACUCUCCCCGGAGGAACUACGGCUGGUGGGUGUCGAGGCUCAAGUUUCGAGGCGCCACCGCCGCCCCAGGAAUGAGGAACCUCCGGGCGGUUAUAAAGAGGUGAUGGCGGCAAUUAGCCGUCUGGAGGCCGUGGUGUUCAGUCUUGCCACUUCCGUUGCCGGCAUACUCAGCAAUCUGGCACUCCUACCAGCACCAAAAUCGACCCCGGUACCUACUAGAAUUAUCAAAAGCAAGAAGAGGAGGCACGAUGGGGUGCAAGUACCAACACCCCCACCGUCAAAAUCAUCUACGUGAUCGACACAGGGAGUUAAAAAAAGAAGGAUAGGAUCCGUAUUGGCGAUGCCCGCACCGAUCUCGGCCAUUAAGGAGAAUCCCGAAAUCGGAAAAGAACGGUCGAGAGCUUCUUCGAAAUCUAGAAAGGAUGGGGCACGCCAAAAACUAUCGAGUCCGCCAAAGGCUCCCAAGGAGUGUCUUAAAAAUCGCACGCCGGUGAGGGCCAAACAAUUUCGAAGCCCAUACGAUCUCCGACCUCGCUUGGAACGAAAAAAGAAAGCUGACGAAACAAUCGCCGAUGACACAAUCGCCGACGUAUGUGACGCCCUUAUUAUUUUACAUUCUCAACAAACGAUUGAUUCGUAAAUUUCAUCUCAAUAAUAAUGUAACGGUAUCAGACUUCGAUUAAUAAACUCUUGUUUUGGUUCUGUAUUUGUGUAAAUUUCUUUGUAAUAGUGCAUCAUAUACUUGUGUAGUGUAACAUAUAAUCGCUUUUUUUGUAUGCAGGCUUCGCAGCCGAGACGGAGUGAAAAAUAUGACCAUCCAAAAGCUGGUCUUUUCGCAGGAGACUCCUUUAUAAAAAGCGAUGAAGUAAGUAAUAGUGUAAACGGAGUAAGUAAUAGUGUAAACGGGAAUUAAAUAGUAUAAUAUCUAAAUAAUUAGUGUAAUUGACGCCAAUUUUAAAUUUUUUUAAAUUUAGCUGCAUAACAUCGUCAUCCAAAUAUGUGAAGACGUGCCCCCGUUAUCUUCACUACCAGAGGUGCCGGCGGCGGGGGCUCCGGUGGCGGCGACGGUAACACACGUUCCGCCGAAAGAGGAGCCGGCGGCAACCGAGGCGGCGGAACCGGACACAGCGGGGGUAACUUUCGUGGCGACGGUGGAUGAAAAUGAAGCGGCGGGAGCGGCAGAUGAGGAGGAAAAUAUGGCGGUAGAGGCGAAAGUGGAGGCUGUGGCGAAGGAAAAGGUGGAGACUGCUGCAGCGCCGGCGGAGGACGAGGAAAAGGAGGAGGCGAAGACGACGGAGGAGGCUGCGAAGGAGGUGGCCGCGAAGGAAAAGGUGUGGGCGGCGGCAGCUGCGGCGGAGGAGGUGGACAAGGAGAUUGCGGUUGCGACUACGGCAGCGGAGGAAAAGGACUUCGAAUUAGUGUCGGGGGUUGCUUCGGAGUUAUCGUCGAUACACAGUAAGACGACUCGGGCAUCUAAACGUGUAAGUUGAUAUUACAUCGAUACUCUUGAAAUAAUGCAAAAUAUUGCUAUUCCUGUAAUAUAACCUUGAUUGUUGCACUACUUUAAAUUUUUUGUACAGGACAUUAAAAAAAUGGACAAGCCUCGCCCGAAGAGACGCUUGGUGCGUCUCUCGACGACGACAAAGGCACCUACACAAAUUGCGAAGUCUUCCAUGCAAGAACCCAGCAUUAUAGAGGUGCGUGAAUAUUGCAACAUUACAUUUCAUUAAUGCGAUACAGCUUAUAAUAGUGUAAGAAUGUCCUGCAAUGGUGUAAUUACGAUCUGAUUCUUUCAUUUUUUGCUAAAUAGCAUCCAAUAAUCAUCGACAUCCCCCCCUCCUCGGAUGAAACAUCAAAAUUUAUAAAGGGCAAAAUACUCAAAUUGAAUGUCGCAAAAUCAUCACCGACACUGGAUUUAAAGUAUUACGGCAAGGGUGAGUUGCCGAAGGAGGAUCAGGAGCGAAUUGAAAAAUUCCUGACAAACACCACCCCCUCCGCAUUAGUACUGCCUUCGAAAGAUAUUGACAUCGGGAGGAAGGACUUGGUUGAUCUAACAAGUCAUAUGGCCUUCGUCAGCUCCGAUGUUAUUGACGGCUACCAGCAUUUACUCCAGGAGGCGGAAGGCCACAGGUGCAUAUACUCCACGACAUUACUUUAUCAUACCCUAGGGACUGCAAUGAGCCCCAAGAUAUUUUUGGACGACAUCACCGAGGAGAGGAUCAGUGAGGCGAAGUACUGGUUCAUCCCGCUCUUCGACUUCCAACACUGGCAUUUGCUGACUGUUGAUCUCCAAGACGGGAAGUACCUCCACUUAUCGUCCAUUAAAAAUCCUAAAUACAACGUGAGGUUUGAAAAAGCAGUAAGUGUUUCCUAAUACUUUAAAAUUGUACCAGCAUUAUCCCAUUAUAUUUCUAAUUAGUGCAAUGAUUUCUAUGCAGUGUAAGUUCAUAGGAAAUUAUUUGCAACAAAAAUUUUUCAAUUUGUUUGGGGACCGCGGUACCCGUCCCGUCGACUGGGAGAAGAUCAAUAUGGAAGACAUCGCGAUUCAAGAUCAGUCCAAUGACUGCGUAAUCUUCCUUUUAGCAUACGAGGAAUACUUACAGAAGGGGUGGAACUUGGACUUCUCCCAGAAUGAUAUGACCAUGAGACACGACGAGAUAGCAGCAGAAUUCUUGCGUCUUUUUUACUCGUAAUAAUUCGAGGCUGAUUCAAGUUACAGUUCUUUCAUUUGUACUGUCAUUUUUUUCAUACUAAGAUGAAUUGGUGUACAUAAUGUAAUUCUCAUUACCUUUGUUAUAAAGAAAUUAAUAGAAUUUUACUUGUAAUAUUCCUCGUUACACUAUUUUCAAGAAUGUUGAACUAUUAUCCCUCCUUGCUUCAAGGUGUUUGCACUGGAGCGAGUCUAGUGAUGCACGCUUAGAAGGGCUGUUACAUCAUUUAACCUGGCUUUGCUUUUUCUUGUUGCACUAUUAUCUCAGUCAUGUUUUAGGUUCUCAUAUUUAAAAUUAUUAAAGUCGAACAGCAAACAGCUGGGGUAGCGAAUAGCGGAACGGAUGUUGUCCGAGUACCGAAAAAGAGCCAUGUUGCGUGAAGCGCAUGGGCCGCAUUUAAUGCCCCGAAGGGUUUGUCUAGGGUGUUUACAAUCUGUGUAACAGUGCAAUGUAAUGUAUAUAAUGGUGCAUUUUAUUUUACAAGUGGUGUAAAAAAAUUCAUCUUGUAUUAUAACAGUGUAAUGUAAUAGAGAUAAUAGUGCAAUUCUUGUUGAAAAUGGUGAUUAGUUUACAGCUGUUACACUAUUUUAUUUCCAUUCCCAAACAGCGAAACUUGCUCACCUUCCCGAGGCGAAAUUUCCUUACAAUCCUGUAAUUAUAUGAGGCCCAUGUGCUAUACGCAACAGCGCCGUUUUAUGACAGAGUAUGAAAUGUAAGCCAUUAAAAAGCCAUUAAUGCAGCAAGCGCGGGAAAGGCGGGUUUAGAGCGUAGAUAUUCUAUUCGCCAAAGCCAGUGUUUGCUGUUAGAUUUUUUAUUUUUUUAUUUAUAUUAUUUGGAAGUGCAGCCGCAUUUGUCUCAAGGACUGAAGGGAAUAAAAUCUAAAAUCUAUUGAUUCCGCUGUGUCAAGUACUAUNNNNNNNNNNNNNNNNNNNNNNNNNNNNNNNNNNNNNNNNNNNNNNNNNNNNNNNNNNNNNNNNNNNNNNNNNNNNNNNNNNNNNNNNNNNNNNNNNNNNNNNNNNNNNNNNNNNNNNNNNNNNNNNNNNNNNNNNNNNNNNNNNNNNNNNNNNNNNNNNNNNNNNNNNNNNNNNNNNNNNNNNNNNNNNNNNNNNNNNNNNNNNNNNNNNNNNNNNNNNNNNNNNNNNNNNNNNNNNNNNNNNNNNNNNNNNNNNNNNNNNNNNNNNNNNNNNNNNNNNNNNNNNNNNNNNNNNNNNNNNNNNNNNNNNNNNNNNNNNNNNNNNNNNNNNNNNNNNNNNNNNNNNNNNNNNNNNNNNNNNNNNNNNNNNNNNNNNNNNNNNNNNNNNNNNNNNNNNNNNNNNNNNNNNNNNNNNNNNNNNNNNNNNNNNNNNNNNNNNNNNNNNNNNNNNNNNNNNNNNNNNNNNNNNNNNNNNNNNNNNNNNNNNNNNNNNNNNNNNNNNNNNNNNNNNNNNNNNNNNNNNNNNNNNNNNNNNNNNNNNNNNNNNNNNNNNNNNNNNNNNNNNNNNNNNNNNNNNNNNNNNNNNNNNNNNNNNNNNNNNNNNNNNNNNNNNNNNNNNNNNNNNNNNNNNNNNNNNNNNNNNNNNNNNNNNNNNNNNNNNNNNNNNNNNNNNNNNNNNNNNNNNNNNNNNNNNNNNNNNNNNNNNNNNNNNNNNNNNNNNNNNNNNNNNNNNNNNNNNNNNNNNNNNNNNNNNNNNNNNNNNNNNNNNNNNNNNNNNNNNNNNNNNNNNNNNNNNNNNNNNNNNNNNNNNNNNNNNNNNNNNNNNNNNNNNNNNNNNNNNNNNNNNNNNNNNNNNNNNNNNNNNNNNNNNNNNNNNNNNNNNNNNNNNNNNNNNNNNNNNNNNNNNNNNNNNNNNNNNNNNNNNNNNNNNNNNNNNNNNNNNNNNNNNNNNNNNNNNNNNNNNNNNNNNNNNNNNNNNNNNNNNNNNNNNNNNNNNNNNNNNNNNNNNNNNNNNNNNNNNNNNNNNNNNNNNNNNNNNNNNNNNNNNNNNNNNNNNNNNNNNNNNNNNNNNNNNNNNNNNNNNNNNNNNNNNNNNNNNNNNNNNNNNNNNNNNNNNNNNNNNNNNNNNNNNNNNNNNNNNNNNNNNNNNNNNNNNNNNNNNNNNNNNNNNNNNNNNNNNNNNNNNNNNNNNNNNNNNNNNNNNNNNNNNNNNNNNNNNNNNNNNNNNNNNNNNNNNNNNNNNNNNNNNNNNNNNNNNNNNNNNNNNNNNNNNNNNNNNNNNNNNNNNNNNNNNNNNNNNNNNNNNNNNNNNNNNNNNNNNNNNNNNNNNNNNNNNNNNNNNNNNNNNNNNNNNNNNNNNNNNNNNNNNNNNNNNNNNNNNNNNNNNNNNNNNNNNNNNNNNNNNNNNNNNNNNNNNNNNNNNNNNNNNNNNNNNNNNNNNNNNNNNNNNNNNNNNNNNNNNNNNNNNNNNNNNNNNNNNNNNNNNNNNNNNNNNNNNNNNNNNNNNNNNNNNNNNNNNNNNNNNNNNNNNNNNNNNNNNNNNNNNNNNNNNNNNNNNNNNNNNNNNNNNNNNNNNNNNNNNNNNNNNNNNNNNNNNNNNNNNNNNNNNNNNNNNNNNNNNNNNNNNNNNNNNNNNNNNNNNNNNNNNNNNNNNNNNNNNNNNNNNNNNNNNNNNNNNNNNNNNNNNNNNNNNNNNNNNNNNNNNNNNNNNNNNNNNNNNNNNNNNNNNNNNNNNNNNNNNNNNNNNNNNNNNNNNNNNNNNNNNNNNNNNNNNNNNNNNNNNNNNNNNNNNNNNNNNNNNNNNNNNNNNNNNNNNNNNNNNNNNNNNNNNNNNNNNNNNNNNNNNNNNNNNNNNNNNNNNNNNNNNNNNNNNNNNNNNNNNNNNNNNNNNNNNNNNNNNNNNNNNNNNNNNNNNNNNNNNNNNNNNNNNNNNNNNNNNNNNNNNNNNNNNNNNNNNNNNNNNNNNNNNNNNNNNNNNNNNNNNNNNNNNNNNNNNNNNNNNNNNNNNNNNNNNNNNNNNNNNNNNNNNNNNNNNNNNNNNNNNNNNNNNNNNNNNNNNNNNNNNNNNNNNNNNNNNNNNNNNNNNNNNNNNNNNNNNNNNNNNNNNNNNNNNNNNNNNNNNNNNNNNNNNNNNNNNNNNNNNNNNNNNNNNNNNNNNNNNNNNNNNNNNNNNNNNNNNNNNNNNNNNNNNNNNNNNNNNNNNNNNNNNNNNNNNNNNNNNNNNNNNNNNNNNNNNNNNNNNNNNNNNNNNNNNNNNNNNNNNNNNNNNNNNNNNNNNNNNNNNNNNNNNNNNNNNNNNNNNNNNNNNNNNNNNNNNNNNNNNNNNNNNNNNNNNNNNNNNNNNNNNNNNNNNNNNNNNNNNNNNNNNNNNNNNNNNNNNNNNNNNNNNNNNNNNNNNNNNNNNNNNNNNNNNNNNNNNNNNNNNNNNNNNNNNNNNNNNNNNNNNNNNNNNNNNNNNNNNNNNNNNNNNNNNNNNNNNNNNNNNNNNNNNNNNNNNNNNNNNNNNGCGUAAGAUCGAUUCUAGACUGCUGGGGGUUGUACUUGCACCCCAUCGUGCUCCUUUCUUACUUUUGAUUAAUUGCCAAUGGUGCCGGGGGAUUUUUGUGCUUGGUAGAGUGCCGGAUUGGCUGAGUUAUGGCCGGCAACGGAAGUGGGCAAGACUGAACUACACGGCUACAGACGCUAUUGCCGCCAUCACCAUCUUUAUAACUGCCGAGGUUCCUCAUCUCCUGGGGCGGCGGUGGUGCCCGAACUUGAGCUCGCACACAGCCGUAUGUUCUCCAGGGAGAGUUCGAGCCUGCGAGGCACGUGCGAGUUAAAACCUCCUUCACUUCGACAUCGCCCCGAAAUGACUGAGCUCCAUUAAUUCGUAUCGCCAUCUCUGAGACACGAUGGCAUAUUGCACGACUGAAGAAGGCAUGAGAGGCAUUCUGUACCAGUGGCCUCAUAUAUCCCACCUGAUAGCAAAGAUAUAUAUUACACUAUAUUCAGAAAAAGAUAUUACACUAGAGUUACACACAGUUACAUGAUUUAAGUAUACAAUAGAUAUUCUAUAAUUUGCACUAUUUUAGAAAUUGGAUUUGCACGAUUACUUGAACAAUAGAGACUUACUGGGAGAAGCGGGGUGCAUCCAAGAACAUAUUCUACCCGCUUCGAAUUAGCUUACAAUUUAACGGCGGCGGAACAUAGGCUGUCGAUUAUAAAUCGGUGUACUGCUUCCGGCCAAUUGUAGCGUGCCAGAGCGGGAAGAUCAUCGACAAGACCCACCAGUCCUUUGGGACAUAGAUUAUUGGUAUUGGUGAAAAGAAUACAACAAAAAAAGUAGAGAAUAAGUAAUUUCACAAAAUCGGUAAUGUCAUUUUCGUCCUUCUUGGGUGACAUCACCUUCAAAACCACCUCCAGGUUCUUGCGGUCGACCUUCUUCCCCUCAAGGAAACGAUUUUGAAUAUCCGACCCCCAAUUGAGGCUUAGGUCUAGAGCUUGGCCGACAGGGGUAAUCUAAGAAAAACUGCCACCUCCUUGGCCGUGAAGCGUAUGACUUGAGGGCCUAUUUCGAAUUCUACACCCUCCUUCCAAUGACGGAGGAUGAACUCCAGCAAUGGCCUAUCUGAGAUGAUGUCGGGGAAGUAUAAGAUAUUACCAAAUAUCGUACUCUUGAUGACGGGAAGAUGAUGCGGCUUCACUACCGACGCGUAAGUCUUCCUGUACGCUUCGACGAAACACCGAGAAUUCACAAUGAAUCUACCGACGGGGCCGCCGGCAACCGGCCGCGAAGGCGCCUUACGGCCGUCGGCAGACGAUGAAUCAGUAGAUUGCGACGACUUCGACGCCAUUGCAAGCAAUGUAGAUUUAGAAAGGUCGUGUAUUCGCCGAUGGGAUUCGAAGUGGACGAUGGUGGUUACAAAUAGAAAUGUUGCUGUUAGGGCAAUGACCGACGUAAGGCGAUUUAGACGCCUUAAAAGAUUAGAAUAGGGUAAUGGGGAGCAACAGGAGUUUGAAAAUUAGUGGGAUGCUAGUAUGGGCCAACCUUCUCACGAAACAGCGUAAGAGUCCAUACAAAACCUGACACAUUAGCACAACAAUCAGCCAACAGCGAGAAUGUGAAAGAUAGUGGCAUUAAAUGUAGCGACAGAAUAGUACAUUGACGUGAUCGUUAUACUCGAGUACGUAGUGAAGAGACACUGGCCGGUAAGAGAGGGGAAGAGACACCGGCGACACAUCGAACUUUCUUCGGGAGAAUUCAUCCCAGAUAUAAUCCCUGAUUAAACUUCUUAUUGCACCAUUCUCAAUAUACUGUUGAAGGUGUAUUAUAAAAAAUAUGGACCAUCAUAAGCCAGUCCUAAAAAUUAUUGACUCGUUGCACCAUUACUUUCAAACCAUUGAUCGAUUACUACGAUAAUAUUACACCAUUACGGGCCUAUUUGAGCUCUUUUACAGCGCGUCGCACUAUUAAUCGCGUUUAACGUUGUAAAAUUAAUCGUGUGGUCUUUCACCAAUUAGUGUAAUAAAUUGCCUAAAUGGUGCAACAACUGUCUAACGAGUACAAGAAAAUUCUUUGGUGCAAGAACUUUUUUAAAAUUAUUUGUAACAUUGUUUCCUAAGUACUGCAAGUGGUCAAAAAAUAGUAUAAGUUUUUCUCUGAAUUUGUUUAUAAUAUGAAUGUAAAAGUGCAACAUCGUCGAAAAUAAUAGUGUAAAAUCUACGCUAAUAGUGUAAUACAGCUAAAAGCGGUGCAUGAAUAUAAUGAAUUAUACAGAUAUAUUUACUAUAAGGCGUAACAAUGUAAAGAAAGAGAUCCCUUUAUUAAUAUACAAGCAAAUUAUACAUUGUCACUACAACAAAAACGGUCUAUAGCGACACUUUUAAAUAUAGGUACAUGUCAAAAAAGUGCUGCUAGCUAAAAUUACCGACACUUUUAAAAAGUGUUGCUAUUGUGGGGUCGCUAGAUAUAUAGUGACAGUUAAAGAGUGUCGCGAUAACCUAAAAGAAUGCUGCUAAUUUACCAACACUUAUUUAAGCAUUUAGCAACCGCCGAAACUCUAUCUCGUUGGCUGCGGUGGCGAAGGAGAACAACAGGAAAGGCUCUUCGUCUAGAAUUUCAGUGGAUUGAGUGAAGAGAGAAGAAAAGAUAGUAAUUGAUUUUUUUUUUUUUUCUUUUCUGUUUGUAAUCGGGCCAAAUGGACUAGGUGUUGUGGGUUGAGUAGAGUAAUCUUUUAUUUUUAGUUGGAUUGAGCUUUAUAUAUAGGCAUUAGUAGAUAUUUUUUUAAGUUUUAGGAUAAAUAGGACACUUACUCAAAAGUGUCCCAAACAUGUGUCGCUAUAACCUAAUUCUGUUGUAGUGUGUCUUUGACGAAAACGCAACAUAUAAUACACGUUUUGCAUACAAUACGAUGUUCACAACAUCAACUGUAACUUUCGCAUCAACAUUAUUAAUGAACAAAAUUAGGCCUUCAUUUUACAAAAGUACCAAAUCAUCAUCAAAGCUUGCCGCCAAAUCCACGAGCACAUAACAUACUCUGAGGUUCUUCUAUCGGAAGAUGAAAUGACAGAGAGGAGAGGGCUCGCUCGGAGGGGUAUGUCGGAGCUUUAUUUGCACUAGGGACUUUGGCAUUGACGUUUUGGCACUACAUUGUUCGUAAAAAGACAGUAUAGCCAGAAAAAAUUUAGAAUCUAUCGAUAAGAAUAAAGAUCUGGAAGAAUUUAAGAACCUGGUAUAGGGUGGUACCUCGUCGCAAAUAAAGCACAGUACUUCAGAUAGUGUGAAUCAAUCUUAACGCCUCCUUACUGGAUGAUACACUUACGACCGAGCCUCUUCUUCGUCGACGUCUCCUGCGGGUCUCUCCUCUCGUCUCGUGAUCCUCCAUCAUCGCCGUUUCCUCGUCGUCGGUUGCCCAAGUCCCUGGAGAGUGCUUUUAUAGAAAACGAACAGACAUUUGAGGAAUCGAGUUGAGGUACUCCUUUACCCUACGUUGCGUAACCAUUUAGGUAACCGACUAUUAAUGCUCGCGAAAUAUUAGUUUUCGUCGUGAACAGAAAGUAGCUAAUGCUUACCUCAAGAGCCGUAUUACUGUAACAUCACUUUAAAAUAGGUCGUGGAGCCUCCUCCCACUCCUCCCGUAUAUUAUCGACGGCCCCCAUAUCCUUUCAUUUGGCCUAUUAGCUUAAGAUUACAUUAUGAAAUAAAAUAAGUCAAUUUUGAACUGGAACGAAGCUACGGAUGCACUGUUAUAGACGUCUGUUGCACCAUUUCUCCUUUCGUAACUCUUUACGUUGCACUAUUAUCGGGGCGCGCACUAUUUGUCAAUAGCUUUCGAAAAGGAAACAGCGGGGCCGACGAAUAGCGGGGGCGGAUGUGGUUCGAGUUCCGAGUAAUGAUCGAGGGAGGUUGGAUUGCGUACAGCGGACACGGCGCAUUUAAUGAGCGCCAGACAGUACGGCAUGGUAUACAUCGGUUGAGGAAUACGCUGAGGAAUACUACCGUAUUGCACUCUUAAAAGCUUAGUACGAGUCUAUUCCAAAAAAUUACACUGGUAUUACAACCGUAUUGCACUCUUACAUAUUUCGUUGCACUCGUAGAUAAAAUACAUUAUACUGUUAUUUUUUCGUAUUGCACUCUUACAAGCUUCUUUGCACUCUUUUAAAAAAUAUUAUUCUGUAAUUAACACUGUCUUGCACUAUUAUUCGCACUUAACUAUGAACUUAUUUAACAGUUAAAAGGACGCGUGAUCUUUUAUAGAAAAAUUUUACACAAUCGUUUAGCUGUUAUGUCGCGCCUCUCGGACUCCGAACCCCACCGUUGAGCGUCCAGUCGCGCCGCAGAUCUUCCUGGCUUGCCGACUCUUAUGUCGCACAUCACCGACCGUUCAGCCCCGCCGCAAAGCUUCCUCGCCUGCAUUUGUAGGGGACGUCGUUCAUUUGCACUUUUAAGUUCAGAUUAUAUUAAGAAAUGGAGAAAGUAAAAUUUUAACUGAUUAUGAUUUGGUUGCACUGGAACGAUGGUAGGAUGCACUGUUAUAGAGGUCGUUUGCACCAGUUCAGAUUAUAAAUUGAGGUAUAAGCGGGGAUUAGAUCAAUUUUGCGUUUCGAUGAAAAUUGGGUUAUUCUUGAAAAUAAGAAAAAUAGCGUUUGGUUAGGUAAGAUGGAAUAAAAAUUGAAGUGGGUAGUUAUAAAUAAAAAAUAAUAAUAUUAUUCUUUUUUUAUAUUAGAAUUAGAAUUUUUAUAUUUUAUAUUUAUAUUUUAAAAUUUAAAAUAUAAACUUUUAAAUUUUAAAAAUCAAAAUUAAAUUUUAAAUUUAAAAUCUCAAAUUUAUAAUUUUAAAAAAUUAAUUUAUCAUGAAUAUUAUUAGAUAAUCAUAAAUGUUAAUUAAUACAUUAAUUACCAGAUUAAUUAAUCAUUAAUCAAUUAACCAUGAGUACUGUUAAUUAAUAAAUUAUCUAACUAUAAAUAAUUUAAUAAGUUAACAAAUUAGGCUAAUAUAUUAAUAUAUUAGUAAAUUAAUAAUUAAUUAAUUAUUUGAUUAGUUAUGUUGGUAAAAAUAUUAAUUUAUUUAUCAAUAAAGAUAUUAGUUAUUGCAUAAACACACUAAUAAAUAAUUAUUAAUUUAGCUAAUAUUUUAUUAUUAAAUUAGUUAAUUUUUAAUUUAGCUAAUUAGUUAAUAAAAUAAUAUAUAUAAUAUAUUAAUUAAUAAUAUUUUAUUAUUAAACUAGUAGAGGAAUAAAAAAAAAAUUUUGUUAUUCCACCAAAAAGGUGGAAUAACAAAUUUUCCUCUUAACGAAUUAUUCUAAAAUAACCCGUUAAGAAGGAAAUUAAAUAAACUCACUCCCUCUUAUAGUGUUUGGAUGAAUUAGAGGGAUAAAAUGGUCUAUUCCCACUUUAUCCCUCAACCAAAUAAUGCCUAAAAUAAAAUAUUUGAUUAGUUUGUGACGCCACGCCACCAAUGCACCCGGUACAUUCUAGAAUUUUUCCUAAAAUUUAUACUCGUUUUGAAGUGCACCGGUAAUAAUAAUUUUAGACAAAAAGACGGUAAAAUGUUUGUACACCUGUUUCAUAGAAUUGUACAUGUAGAUUUUUCGUUUCAUUAUAUCUGUGGUAAUUAUCUUUCUACAAACACGUAACUAGGCUACACACUAGUAUAUAUAACACAAAGGAAAAUUCAUCACUCACGAUCUCACGCGCAAAUAGUAAAUAAUUCGAUAAUUGAUAUCUAAAAUUCAAGUUCAAAUUUUAAUUAUAUGAUACACAUCACAAAAAAAAAUUUUAAUUAAAUUUUGAUUUUUAGAACUACAAUAAAAAUAUUUAUUAUUUGACUAAAUUACAAAAAAUUUUUCUGUAAUUAUCCGUUUUUUUAUUAUGGCAUUUAAAAACCUACACUUUACUCCCUUAUAAAAUAAAAAAUAUUCACAUGAAAUUACGAUGUGUAAAAUGACCAUUUUGCCCCUGGCCGUUUUCGUCUUUUUUCUCAUCUUUCUCAGCUGCCCCUUCGAUCGGCUGCGAUUUCCAUCUCAAUCGGCCGCGAUUUCUCUUCAUUUCAUUCUCCACCUGCUCCCCUUCUCCUCCUGCACCCUCGCCGCCUCUCGAUUUCGACGAUAGUAGGAAAAAAAUCGAUGUGGGUGUUGAUGGAAAGAUAGGCAAUGACAACGAGGACAAAGACGAGACGGCGGAGGAGGACGAAGGAAAUGUGGGCGAGGGCGAGGCAAUGGAGGACGGCGAGGCGGCGGCGAGGCGGAAGGAGACGAAGCAACAAGAAAGAGAACGAAGGAGUAUUUUCGGCAUAAAAAAAUAUUUUAUAACGGAAUCCUAACGAUAGAGAGUAAAAUGCACAUUUUUAAUUUUACAAUAAGAUAAAGUAUAGAUUUUUAAAUGUCAGAGAAAAAAAAUAAAAAAACAGAUUAUUAUAAAAAAAAAUUUUAUAAUUUAACCUUAUUAUUUUAUCAAUUUGUUGAAAUAUUAUCUUCUUUUGUCCAGCUCAUACUAUCAAUUCAACAAUUUAAAAAUUCAAUUUCUAAUAGAGAUUGAGAAAAAUUAAAAAGACGGAUAUUUACACGGAGGUUUUGUGUAAUUUAGCUUCUUUUGUUUCAUUAGUGUGCGUUUUUUCACCUGAGCCGGGCUGGCGAGGGAAAGACGGCGUCCCAGAUGUCGCCGAAGGCUGUGGUGAUGGCGCGGUGGUGGCGGCGGUCGUUGAGCGAGAGCAAGCAGCGGAGCAGCUGCUCCAGCCCGGCGGCGUCGUAGAUCUCCUUCUCCACCACCAUCUCCGCCAUCGACCGCCGGAAGUCCCCCCGUGGGUCCUCCGACCUCUUCACCACCGCGAAGCUCUCCCCCACCCUCCCCUCAACCGCCACCGCCGCACUCCGCCGCCGGAGAAAUUUCUCCGGCGACGACACCGGCGUCUCCGUCUCGUCGUCGUCGUCCUCCUCCUCCUCCCCCUCCUCCUCCUCCUCGCCGCUCGAGAGCCGCGCGCUCCCCGCGCCGCGGCGCCUCCACCGCGGCCGUCCGCCGUCGGAGUCGAUUUUCCGGCGGGGGGAGGAGUCGCCGUCGCCGGGGGUGACGACGUGCCACUUCUCCUCCCGGCGCCAGAGGUACGCCGGCGCGCCGCCCGCGAGGGGGACCUCGUCGCCGUCGCCGUCGGAGCACAUCUGCCGGCGCCUCCGCCGCGAUCUCCGGCGAUCUGGGGAUAACGGCGUGGGUAACGGCGACGUCGCCGUCGGUGGAGCGGCAGCUGUGGAAGGAGGGGAAAGCGCGGGUUAUCCUGAAACGGAACCGCUUGGCCAUGGGAAACAACACUGCAGUAAUAAGAUCACUGCAGAGGAGGAGGGAGAUUAAAAGUUAAAACAAAAAAAAGAAAACAGAAGAAAAAGGGCGUUGCGAUUAGAAAAGAUGGUGGGCCAUUUUAUACACUCUGCUAGAUUACUUUGGUAGGAAUGUUUGUUACACCGUUGGCUUCAGCUGUGAGGGGUGGUGGGAUGGUGCGUCCUAAAAUAGGAGCCGGCUUGGAAAAAUUUGAUAUUAUCAUUUUUAUAAUUAGAGAAACAGUAAAUGCAUAUCUACUCUUCAAAAAUUAUGAGCCGUUUGACAUUUUAAUUCAUAAAUUUUAUUUUUUUAUAAAUUUUAGUUCUAUAAUCUAUAAUUUAUAAUCCAAUUUAGUUGACUAAAUAUUAAAAUAUUACUAAUGUAAAAGUGAUAUAGCAUUUAUAUUACAUUUUACCACCUUCACAUUAGUGAUAUAUGAAAGUUUGAGCCAUAAUUUAUAAAAAAAAAUUAAAAUUUGGGAACUAAAGUGUCAUCCUCUGAUAGUUUGAGGAGCAAACAUGUAAUUUAUCCUUAGAAAAAUUAUAGCUAAGCGUUUUAGAGGGGAGCAAGCUCAUGCUAAGCUCAGCAAUAUAUCGGGUGAAUUGCACCGAAGUAGUCCGCGGAGUUCUCAUCCACUUUUGCUUUUGUUCUCAAAAUUCUCACUUUAGUUGUUGUCCUAAUUUACAUUAGCAAUGCAGCUAGAAUUUUUUUUACUUUGUAUAGGUCGCAUCUGUAAAACCAUACAUUAUGCAUGGAGCAAUUGUUCUGUAUAUCAAUUCCACGGUUCGUUCUUUAAAUUUUUCUUGCUGCAAAUUUAAAUGGUUGAAUUGAGACUAUGAGAUGAAUAAAGAGCCAAUCAUAUAUAGAAGUACGGCUAGAACUUUUAAACGUAAACGAGAUCAUUUAAUUUGCAUCAUUUUCAACGUCUGAAUUAACGAUUAAUACUGUUAAACACUAUCGUAACUAUCUAAACUUUUUAUGCCUCUAAUUUUAUAAUUUUUAAAAAUAAAUUUUCAAAUAAGCAGAUGGUCUCAAAUAAUCUUAUAAUACUCCUUUGAAAUAGUUAAUUUUGAAAUCAUAUGAAUGCUACGCAAAUAACGCAAUUUAAAACCUAAAGCGUUUAUAUAGUCUAGAUCAAUUUUGGCGGUGGUAAUAGUCAAUCGGACCGUCCUAUCACCAACAAUGACACGAAAGUAUAUAACUUCAUUUAAUUUUUGAAAUAUUCCAGCUUCAUUCAUUCUUUCUUUUUCUUUGCAAGAUUUAUUGGCAAAAAUUUUGAAAGUUUUUUAUUUUUGAGAGAUAGGUAGCAUGUUAGCCGUUUCGUUUAUUUUAUUUUAAAAAUAAACAUAACUGAAAAUAUAAAUCAACUAGGAUUCGAACUUGAGACCUAGGGUAUCACCCACAAAGUCCUUUAAAAUUUUGAGAAUUGUUAAAUACAAAUAAUUACAUUCAAAAUUUCAAGAAUCAAAUUAAAAACUUGAGUAGCAUAGUACAACCAAUACUCUGAAGAUUUGAGUAGCUUCCAGAUGAUUCGUUGCAGUGGAAUCCCAGAAUUCCGCUUCCCACGUGUAAAUAGAGUUGGGCGGGAGUAGAUUUCCAAAUUCCAAGAAAAAAUUGCUUGAACCUUGUGUACUAUUAUACUCUAUGAACCAAAAGGGCAUUUAGUUAGAUGAAAUUGUAAAUGCAUUAUAAUUAAUCUAUAUAGUCAAAAAUAUAUCAGUUAUACUAUACUCUUAUGAAUAUAAUUUUUUUUGUACUCAUAAGUUUUUGACCGCUAGAUCUACUCCUUUUAUCAUUUCCACCCGUUAGAUCAUACUAUUAAACCAACCACCAUUCAACCCUAACAGACCACUAUUGACCUAAUCGGAGACCACUAUCAUCUUAAUCACGCAUCUCUUCAUCCAAUGGUCGAAAAUUUAUGAGUACAAAGAGGGCUAUAUUCAUAAGAGUAUAGUAGCCUUAGCCCAGUUAUAUAUAUAUAUAUAUAUAUAUAUAUAGGGUCCGGCUACUAUCCUAUUAAUAGGAUUGGGACCCUUAUCCUAUUAAGUCGAUUUGAAUGAUCGGAACUUUAAAUUGAAAAUCGGCACCGUUGAAGUUGAUCUACACAAUUAAAAUUGUUUAGAAACCAAAUUUUGUAAUAUUUAAAAAUCAUUAUCAAGUUCAUCUUAAGAGUUAAAAAAUGAACGGUCAUAAAUGAAUAACCUUCUUAAAAUAGAGGUUAGACUUUCUCAGUUUGUAAUCAGAGUUAUCAAAUAUUAUCUAAAUAGUAUAAAGAAUUUUCUAUCAAAAAUUUAAGCAAUUUGGAUUGCUCUAUACCGUUAAACAAGCAAACGGCUCAUAUAGGCUGUCAAAAAUUGUCGAUUUUACGACACUUUGAUCACCAUGUAAACUAUUAUCAAAAUUUAUGAAAUUUAGUUUCCAGAUAUUUCAAAUAUUCUAGAUCAACUUCAACGGCUCCGAUCAUCGAUUUGGAAUCUCGAUCAUCAAAAACAACUUGAUAGGACAAGUGCUCCUAUCCUAUUAAUAGGAUAGUAGCAUUAGCCUAUAUAUAUAUAUAUAUAUAUAUAUAUAUACUAAAAAGUGUUAUAACUAUAAAUAAGUUAUUUGUGACAUAUGGUUCAGAACAAUAUUUUUAAAUUUUAUCACUUUUUAUAUAUAUAAUAGUGAGAUUAUUAUUAAUGUAGAAGAAACAAAAUUUUUUUUUUUAAAUAAAAAUUAUUUUUUAUUUAAAGUUACUCUUUCAAAAUAAUACAAUUGGUAUUAUGACUAGUUUGGACAUAAUUUUUAAUUCUGUUGUUGAUCUUCCUGGUAUAAUUUCAACUAUAGAAAUUAAAUUUAAAUAUAUAAAAAAAACACAAUAUUUAGAUCUAUAUUCAAUUACAAGUUUGCAUCUACAUAUAAUUAAAUAGUUCCUACGAUUUCAUUAUCUAUGCAAUAAAAAUAAGUUUUAUUAUAAGGGUGCGUUUGGUUCGCGCUAUUUUUUAAAGAUUCCUAGUAAUCCAAUAGGAAUAAAAAUAUAUGACGGUGUUUGGCUAAACGCACUAAGUAAUCUAGUUGGUAAUAUUAGAUUCACUUGGGAAUAAGAUUCACACCAAAGUACUAAUCUCAUUCCCUUGAGAGAUGGUGGGUAUCCUCAUAUUAAUGGAUUGGAGUAAUUAUAAUAUGUCUAAUCUCUUUCUUUCUUCCUACCCGCCGGCAAUUGAUAUUAUUUUUCGUUACACUCUAAGGUAUCGUUUGGUUCGGGGAUAAGCAAAAAGUUGGUAUUCCAGGGAUAGGUAUAAAUUGAGGUAUAAGCGGGGAUUAGAUCAAUUUUGCGUUUGGAUGAAAAUUGGGUUAUUCCUGGGAAUAAGAAAAAUAACGUUUGGUUAGGUAAGAUAAAAUAAGAUUUAAAGUGGGUAGUUAUAAAUAAAAAUUAAUAAUAUUAUCACUUUUUUAUUUAUAUUAGAAUUUAAAUAUUUAUAUUUUAUAUUUAUAUUUUAAAAUUUAAAUUUUAACUUUUAAAUUUCAAAUUUUGAAAUUAAAAUUUAAAAUUUAAAAUCUCAAAUUUUAAAUUCAAAAUUUAAAUUUUAAAUUUCUAACUUUAAAUUUAAGAUCAAAUUUAAAUUUGAAAAAAAAUAAAAUUCAAAUUUAAAAUUUCAAAAAUUUAAAAUUUUAAAAUUUAAAUUUAAAAUUUAAAAUGUGGAAUUUAAAAUUAUAAACUUUAAUUUUGAGAUUACAAAUUUUAAAUUUUAAAUAUAAUUUAUUAUAAUAUUUUAAAUUUUAAAUUUAUUUAAAUUUUAAAUUUUAAUUUAUUUUAAUAUUUAAAUAUAAUUUAUUAUAAAAUUUAUUAUAAUAUUUAAAUAUAAAUAAUAUGUAUUAAUAUAGCACAAUUAAUAAUUUUAUUAUAAAAAUAAUGUAUUAUAAUAUAUAAUAUAUUAUAUUUAUAUAAUUUAGUUUUAAUUUAUUUUAUAAUUUUAAUUAAGUUUGAAAUUAAGCAUGAAAAUAGCACUAUUCCACCAAAAUGGUGGAAUAGUAAAAAGCUUGCUAUUCCGGGAUAACCGAGAAUAGCAAGCUUUGACCGGAAUAAAAUAUUUCGGUAAAAAAUGAUCCCGUUUGGCGGAAUAAUGGGGAUAACUUUUGUUAUCCCCGCUUAUCCUCCUAACCAAACGGGGCCUAACCUUAUAUCUCUCUCUAAACUUAUUUUUCUAUCUAAAUUCAACUUUUUUUCUCUCUCUCUUUCUAAAAUUUCAACUCUCUCACUCCCUUUAAUUUCGACUAUAUUUUUCUUCCUAUUUUUUUAAUUAUGCUCUCUCUCUCUCUAACUUAUACUCUCUCUCCCUUUUUUCUAAAAAUAUGUUGAAACUUUUUGUAACAUUAUCUAAAAUUAAUUAAAUAAAUAAAUUAAUUAAUUGUAUAUUUUUUGUAACAUUAAAUAACAUGGCUAAUUAAUAUUACCGUGCGAACCAAACAUAGGAAUUUCACAUUCUUAGUAAUAGAAUGAAUAGGAAUAAGAUUCUCGGAUAUCUUUUAUUCCUAGUAAUCUUUCAUAAUGCGAACCAAACGCACCCUAAUAGGGAUCCAACUGGAAUGUUUCUCGAAGUAAACCGAAGAGUUUACUUUUACAUUGUUUCCAGUGAUGGAAUUUGACUUAACGAGUCACACCGUUAAGCUUAAUUUAGGUCAUUUGAACUUUUUAAAUUUCAAAUUUUAUUAUUUUGUUAUAUAAUUUGUCUAGUAUUCUAGUGGUCUUAAAUUUAAAAAUUUUUAAUGGCUAAUAUAAAAAAAUUUUGAUACUACUUAAUUACUAGGCAAAAAAUAUUCCAAAAUCACAAAAAAUAAAAAUAAAAAUAAAAAAUUUAAAUAGCAUAAAUUAUGUUUAAAGGUAUAGAUCGUGGAUUUAAAUUCUCUACAGGUAGAAAAAAUAUGAAAAUAAAAUUCUCUGUUUACUAUCAAAAGUACUCGCAUCAUUUUUCUAACAUAUAAAAUUUUCAACAGCUUAUAGUCUAUAGAUCCUACGUGUAAAAUAAUUAUAUAUUUUAAAAUAAUCUAUAAUUCAAAUAAUAAGUAUUUUCAAAAAUAAAGAAUAGUAAUAAUACACCCUAAAAGAUGGCGUAGAUCUUAAAACCCCACAUUCGAAAGUUUACAAAUUCUAAUAAAUUUGCUAUAUUAAUAAUUUAAUAAAAUAUUAAAAAUUAUUGACAUUCGAAUGAAAGAAACGCAAGAUUUAUGCUUCUUUUAAAAUGUAUAUAUAAUAUUGUUCUUCAAAGACAUAUAAUUUUUUAAAAUUAAUUACAUACAGCUCUUUGCAAAUAUAUCGAAUAGCAGAUAUAUUCUUAGAAAGUUCAAAUUUUUAUAUUUAUUUUUUUAAAAGUUCUAACGUUUUCAAAUAUACCUCUAUUAUUAAGAUCUGUUAGAAAAAUAUAAUUAACUAUAAAUAAAAUACUUAAUCCUGGUCAGUAAUUAAAUGAGGUAAAUUGACCUUUUUACCCUUCUUAUAUUAUGUGUUAUUGCAAGAAAGAAGAAGAUGAUCGUUGGUAAUUUUUGAAAGGAUAUUUUCACAUAAUUUCAAUUGUUGGAGCUUUUGGAGGGACUUAUUUGUGAUAACAAAAAUAUUAUUUCAUUUAUCUUAUAUUAAAAAAUAAGCAGUACUCUAACAGCAGAGGGCUAAAUAUUUAUAUAACUGAACUUUUGUAAAAAUAAAUAUGAAAAGUUGAACUUUGUAAGAAUAUAUUUGUUAUUCGAUAUUUGUAUAGAAAACUAUAUGAAUUAACCUUUUUUUUGUAUGUGAACUUUUUAAAUAGGGUUAAUUUCAUACAUAUCCCUGCAAAUAUAGUAAAUUACAAAUAUAUUUCUAUAAAUUUCAACUUUUAUAUAUUGUUUCUAGAAAAAUUUUAAUAUUUUCAAAUUUGUCCCCGGCGUUAAAAUCUAUUAGAAAACUUUAAUUAACCAAAGAUUAAAUGCCUAACUUUGGUUAAUUUAUGAGAUAACUGGACUUUUUUUCUCUUAUGUUAUACUGUUGUGGUUUUUGGAGGCACAUAUUUGUGAUUGCAAAAUUGACAUUUAACUAAAAAUAUAAAUAAUUUUAUAACGGUAACAAACCAGAGGAACAUAUUUGAAAAUAUUAUAAUUUUUAUAGAAACAACAUAUAAAAAUUGAACUUUGUAAAGAUAUAUUUAUAAUUUACUAUAGAUUUACAGAGGCAUGAAUGCAUCUAACCUUUUUAAAUAUGUGAUGUGCAGGUACACCAGGUGCAGGCAAUUAUUUCUCGUCGUUCCCCUUCCCCCCAGUGGCCGUAACUGUGCGCGGGAGUUACGAGGCUCCGAAACCGUACCAUCUUUGACGAGUUCCCACGCAACACCCACAUACAAAAGCUCCGCAGAGCCCAAAUAUUCAAACCGAGGAAUCCAUCACCUAUUCGUACCAAAACUGCAUUCACGAAACUCGUCCAAUAGACAAUCGCCACGUGGUUUGAAAGAUAGGACGCCUUGUUUUUUGCGCACGUGGCGUGAUAGUUGUGGGCUGAUGGACUGUACUGAAUUGCAGCGAUGCGUGCGGAAUGGGGGACAUUCGGUUUAAAGGUGGAGAGUGAAAAUUUUUUCGAGACACCCUCAACUGUAGCAAAUUUGAAAUGAGCCCCUGAAGUUUAAUUUUUUUAAUUUAAAAUUUUUAAAUUUUUAAAGAAAUCAGCAUUCUAUCUCAUUAGGAAAUUCGAAUUGGACCGAGUUAUGAUCGAAAUUCUUUAUCUAUUCACAUUAGUUUAAUUAUUGUCCCUUUUUUAACUGUUCGAAUUUUUCGAUUCAACAAUAUAUGUUGAGAUAUUUAUUUGAAUGUCAAAAUGAAGUUGGUUAUAAUUUUUUUUUUUUUUUUUUUUUGUGAUUGAAAGUAUAGUAUUUUAUUUUUGCUCAUUAAAAAAUCUUGACAUAUAUAAUUUAACAAAAUAAUACAUUUCCUACAUGAGAUAGUUGAAUUCAUCUCCGAAUAAAAAAAGUUAAAAUUUCAUACAUAAUUUAUUGUUGACAUUUGAUCAAAUUUUUCAUCAUCUAAAUACCACUACCUUCGUAAGCAAUAAGGAGAAAUACGCUAAAGAAGCUAUGUGUGUAUCCUAACAUAUUUCUAAGGAGAAAAAAAACCAAGCCGCUUAUUUUUAAUCAUACAAAAAAAAUUGGCCUUUUUAUAAAAAAAAUUACUAAUUUUAUAUUUUUGCAUAUUCCAACCAAUUAUUUUAAAAAUAAAUCAAAAUAUUCCUAUGUCUUAAAUACCUAAUAUAUCAUUUCUUUGCUCUUUCCGGAUCUAUGUCUCCACCGUUGGUAGUAUUCACGAGCGCUCAUCUUAUUUUUGCCAUCUCCACACCAAUUAUAUUGUCGCGUUCACCUCAUGGUGCUCCUUACAAGAAAAAGGAAGAUGGUGAAACUUGAUCCGCUAGUCGUCGUGGCCACUCAUAGCCUCACUUGAGAUGGAGAAAAUGCAGCAAACAAGGAGGGUGAUGCUGAUCAAGAAUACUUCCAAAGCUUGUUAAUGAAGCUAAGUGUAGCCGACAUUGGGAAGAUGGUGGCGAUAGUGUGAGAGGAGAAUCUAAGGUACAACAUAAUGUUACACUAUUUGAAUAUAUAUUACACUAUUUAGUAAAAAAAAUUACACAAUUUUAUAUUUUAUUUUAUGUAUUAAAUAAUAUAACUUUGUUACUAAAUAAUUCUUCAUGUGUUCAGAGUUCAGAUAGUGCAACAUUGCGUCGUUUCUCAUAUUUUUCUUCUCUUGUUGCCGCCGCUAGUUUGUCAUCGUCGAUCACGCUCAUAAAGCCCUCGAGAAUCUAUUUCAGAAGCAUUCUUAACCAAUGAUCAUCGCCUUUUACCUCUGCCGCCUUCGUCUCCAUCUCCAAAACGUCAGUCUCGUCUCUACCGCCGCAAUCUGGCUGGCGAUUGCCAAAAACGGCAACAGCCACGAGCUAAGUUCGUCAUCGUUCUCUCACUCGAGGGUGAGGUAACAGAAAAGUGCAGUGAUGAUGCAGAGACAAUGGGAGAAAAAAAGAGCUAAAAGAUAAAAAAAAAAUAUGUGUAUUUUGAUUGGUUUGAAAAAAAUCGAUCAAAUAUAUAAAAAUAAAAAGAAUAGUUUAUUUUUAUAAAAUCGCAAAACUACUGAUUUUUUUCUUUUUUUUUUUAGCACAAGGGCUAGAAAAAUUUUCAUGGGGUUGUCGAUAUUCAGGAGAAGAAUAAAAGGGGAAAAAAAAGUGACUAAGUCAAUUUAAAAAUAACGCAUAGUUGAAGGGUAUACUUACAUAUUUACCUACGUUUUGGCCGUUUGGGGAAGUUAUAAUAAUAAUAAUAAUAAUAAUAAUAAAACAUUAAAAAAAAAAAAAAAAAACACUACGCCUGAGGGGGACUUUGAGUUUGAAGUAGGCACGGUGACAACGCGGAUACAGCGAGUAGGGGGCCACGCCACAGCGCCACGUGGCGAUAAUCCAACGGAUACACGACAACACGGUCUCGCUCUCUACAUCCCCCUCUCUCUCCAUCACAUCCGAACUGGAGCCCACGGUGCACCGCACCCUCGUCGUGUUCCUCGUUGUCCGCGGUCCGUCCGAUCUCGAUCGGAGGGCGGGGGUGUCUCCUCGUAGUCAAACCUGUUGCCUCGCUUGGGAGGGCCCCGCACUGGGACGUCCGAUCGCGUCUUGAGUGGACGGCUACGAUUGAGACGGGGCGUGGAUAACACUUCGUACCUGGAACCCGCACGCGAAAGUUUAUGCGGACGCGCUCGGCGGUUUUUGAUCGAGUAAAUGGGCGGUUGGGAUUUUACGGACCGCUAUAAAUAGGCAUGUGAGAAAUAAAAUUUAUUGUAUAGCACUUUCUCUUUCACCAUAUUAUUUAUAAUUAAUUUAUUAUAUUUUUUUAAAAUAAUAAUAAUAAUAUUUUUUAUAAAAUUAUGAUGAAUGAAUAAAUUUUAGAAAAUUAAUUUAAUUAAUUAGAAACUUAUAUUAAUAACGUCACUACGGUAUUCUUAAAAAUUUCGCGACUUUGAGGAGGAUUUUUUAAAGAUUUUUCUUAUGCGGUUGUCCGUACGAAGCAGGGCAUGGGUUUGCGGUCUCUUUGACUUGGUGGUUGGUACAAUAGUGUUUAUUAGUGAUGCAAACGGAACGGAUCCGUGGCCGACGGGUUUUCUCACCUUUCGUGUUAUAUUUUUUUGUUGGAAUAUUUUUUAUUUUAUUUUUGAUUUUUACUUACUGUUCAAUUCGAAACUUUUAAGCAUCCGUUUAGUUCGGGGUUAAGAGGUUAUUCCACCUCUUAACCCCGAAGUUAUUUUCAAAUAUCUAAUUUGGGAGGUGGGGUUAGCUAAUCCUAUUCCAAAUGGACUAUCCCGAUAACCCCACCCUACCCUACCACUCCAAUCAAAUAAAAUACUAUUUUACCCACUAUUCUUCUUAUUCCACCUACUCCAACUAAAUACUAUUUUACCUAUAUCUGAAAUAAACCAAAUUCUCAACCAAACACAAAAUUACUCUAACCCCACCUUAAUCCUGAACUUAACUCUAUCCUUGGAAUCAUAAGUUUUUACUUAACCCCGAACUAAAUGGUGGCUUACUUAUUGUCUCAUUCGAGACGGAUCAGGACGAGAGUAAAUUUUUGGCGAAUUUUUGACGGAUCUUAGCGAAAUUGAAGAAAGAAAAGAGUCUUCCGCCUCCCAUUCCAUUUACUUAACGAAUCGGAGCGAAUUUGGGGCGGGUUAUAAUUUUCUAUAUUUGUUGUUCUCACUUACCACCUAUUUGGAACAAGUCGGGGCAGCAGCUCUACCAAUCCAAAUCCAUUUGCAUCCCUACUGUUCAAUCGCUACAGUCAAAUCUCUCGGCAUGUGGAUUUUAGGGCCUAUCCGUUUAAAAUUAAAAACAGUUUUUAGUUAAAUAAUAAAUUAGAUGCAAAUUAUUUCUUUCAUUGUUGUUUAUUUGGUAGAGAAUUAAUAAUUUUUCCCGUAAUUUUUUUUUCCAUUUUUGUGUUUGUGUUAUGAAAACAUUUUACACCACCACAUAAAAUAUAAAAUAACUAAAUUUUUUAAUUUGUUUUCAUAUUAACAUUGUCACAACUCAAAACAAAGUCAACUAGGAUAUUUUUUAAAAAGGAGAGGUUACAUGUGAAUUUAGUUUAUGGCGAAUUAAAUACCGAAAGUGAAUAUUUACAACGAAAAAUCACUUUCCCUUUUUAUAUGUUUAGUGAAACAAAUAUGCUGGCGUAAGUAUGAAACGGUUAUUUAAAACUAAUAAGUUAGUUAGCUAAUUAACAAUAAAAAUAAGAGUAAUUACAACUUCCAAAUAAAAUAUUUUUCUAAUUAAUAAACUUCAAAGUACUGAUAAAAUAAUAAGUUAAUUAGUUAGCUAAUUAACUAUAAAAAGUUAAUAUGUUAGUUACUAAAUAAAUAAUCUAGUUAGGUAGAUAAUUAGUUAACAGAUUAAUUAAAUUCGUCAAAAUAUUAUAAUUUAAUAAAUAUUAAUAUUAAUUAAUGGAUAAGCGCAUAAAAUAAUUAAUUAUUUAAUUAUUUAGUUAAUUAUGAACAAAAAAAAUUAAUGGCUUAAGCAGUUAGGUAAAAAUUUAUCAUUUUCCAGACGGGUGCUGUGAAGGCAAAGUAGGACAAAAAUUGUGCGGGAAGGGUUUUCCAAAUUAUCCAUUUGAGGGCAAGAUUUUUUUUGCGGCCUAGUCUGUGGAUCUCACGUCGCGUGGCAAUUUGGUAAGAUAGUUGAAAUUUACUUUUCUUCAACUAUUAGCGGAUUCAAAAUAUUUUUAGACCCAAAAAUAAUAAAAAUUAUAACAAAAAUAAAAAUUAAGUAUUAACUAAAUACUGUUUAGUGGAUUCGAAUUCGAGCUAACCAUAGAGUAGACCUGGCUGGAUUCGAAUUCGAGCACUCAUUUCCGGAGCCCGGCCCGUACUGUUUAGUGGGCUUCGGGCUGGACCGACGUGAGAUUCUAGAACCCAGGCCUAAAGUCCAAAAUAUGUCAGGCAUUUCUUACACCCAUGUUUUAAAGUAAAUCCUACAUUAAGUAUAAAUUUAUAUAAUAAAAAAUUUAAUUAAAGAGUAUAAUGCUAUAACAAUAGUAUAAUAUGCAUUUAUUUAUGUAGAUAUUUGUAUGUUUGUGUAAUCGUGUGUGCGGCCCCCUCUCGCACACAUAAAUAGAUAUAUUCAUGCGCAGAAUAAUAAUAACUAAAAAAAGGUGGAAUUGGGCUCAAAUGGUAUAUUAUUCAUGAGGGAUUCUAACCAUUUAUAUCAUACAAGUAUAAGACAUGCAUAGUAAGUAUCAAUCAAUCAACCCAAAAAGAAAAAAGAAUAAAUAAUAAAUAUGGUACAUAAUUAAGGAGAAUAUGGAAAGUAAAUGAGAGCACAUAUGGUAGUAACCACAGGUUCAGAGGUAGUCGGCAUCACAAAAUGCCCAAAUAAUAGGAGCUGAUGAAUUGUGAAGAAGUAGACCAUGAUAUAAUGUGUUUCGAAUAUAUUGCAGAAUUCGUAGGACCGCAACAUAAUGAGUUGUUUGGGAAACUAACAUAAACUGACUAACAAUUUGAAUAGCAUAACUGAUAUUGGGCAUAAUAAUUGUAAGAUAAUUGAGACUACCAACCAAUUGUCGAUAGAGAGUUGGAUCGGAAAGAAAUGUGCCACCAGUAGGCUGAAGUUUGACAUGAAGUUGGAGUGGAGUGUCGGUUGUUUGCUGUCAGUUAAUCCAGCACGAAAAAGUAGUUCAGAAGCAUAUUUUACUUUGGAAAGAAAUAGACCUUUAGUUUGAUAAUCUAUUUCAAUUAUAAGAAAAUAGUGAACUUGUCCAAGAUCUUUUAUUUCAAAAUGUUUAUUGAGCUGGUGUUUGAUAUCAAAAAUUCCCUUCAUACCAUCACCUGUAAUAACCAUAUCAUCAACAUAUAAAAAAAGACCGACUUUCUCUAACGCAAGUGGCAAAGGGUUUGGUGGUUGGUACCCGAGGUCCCAAGUUCGAAUCCUAGUUGAUUCAAAUUUCAAGCUAAAUUUAUUUCUAAAUGAAAUAAAUGAAGCCGGUAACAUGCUACCUAUCUCUAAAAAAAAAAAACAUAUAAAAAAAGAACAAACAUAGCAGAGUCAUGAUUGCUUUGAGAUUAAAAGCCCUGCUGGAGGAUGGUACAAUGAAACUUCUCAAACCAUGCUCUUGGAGCUUGUUUAAAACCAUACAAAUUAAGCUUUGCGAUGCUUACACAUAUAUUGUGGAGGAUGAGAUAAGCCCAGAGGAGUCAUAUAUAUAUACUUCAUCAGAAAGAUCACCAUUUAAAAAUGCAUUCUUGACAUCUAUCUAGUAAAGUUUCUAACUCUGAAUAGAUACCACAGCCAACAGACUAAGCACAGUAGUCAUUCGUGCGACAGGAGCAAAUGUUUCCUCGUAAUCGAUUCCAUAUUCUUGGGAAAAGCCUUUAGCAAUGAGUCGUGCCUUAUCUCAUUCUAUAGAACCAUCUAAUUUGGUUUUAAUUUUAUAGAUCCAUUUAUACCCAAUAGCAAAUUUUUCCAGUGACAAUUUAACAAGCUCCCAAGUAUUGGUCUUUUGAAGAGCAGUGAGUUCCUCAUUCAUGGCUUGUUGCCAUUUAAGAUCAGAGAAGGUUUCAUAGUACGAUUUGGGUUUAUAGUGGGAGAAAAUAGAGGAUAGGUAACAAUAAUAGUCAUUGAGAUAACUUGGUGGUUGUCUUUUGCGAGUUGGAUGAGAUCUUUCUGGUUGCAUAUUGUCUAGAUUGCUAGAUGGGCAAGAAGGGUUGAGACAAAGAUCAUGUUGACCAUUGGCGGUUGUUUGUAAGGGAAUAUCAGAUGAGGAACUCUGUUGAAAUAGGUCUAACAGUGGAGAAUUGGAUGAAAACUUUGAUGCUGAAAGUGUGAAGAAAUUUAUUCCCCAAAUGUGAGAUGACUAGAGAUACACAAUUUUUUAGCAAUAGGGUCAUAACACCUAUAGCCUUAAUUUUGUUGAAGUCCAUUACCAAGAAAGACACAUAUAGCAGUUUUCUUGGUUAGUUUGUUGCACUCUCUUUUAGGUAGAAGAACAAAACAUGUAGAACCAAAAAUACGAAGAUGUGAGUAAUCUGGACUAACAUUAUGAAAACGUUGAAAAAGGGUUUCAUCAUUUAUGAUAGGUGAAGGAAACGAUUGAUAAUAUAAACAGUAGUAAGUAUAGCUUCACUCCAAAUUUCUUAGGAACAGAAGCCGAAAGAAGUAGAGUGUGUGCAGUUUCAAUAAUGUGACAGUGUUUUCUUUUAGAAACUCCAUUUAGUUGAGGUGUCUCAACACAAGAUAAAUGAGAAAGAGUACCUUGAUAUAUAGGGUAUUAUUUGAAAGCAUGUGAUAUAUAUACUCCGCCAGAAUCAGAUCAAAAAUUUUUUAUAGCUUUUGAAAACUGGUUUUUUAUCAUAGUUGAAAAUUCUAUGUAAAUAUUUAAAAAGUCAGCUCAAUUAUGCACCAAAUAUAUCCAUGCAUAGUGGGUGUAAUCAUCUACAAAUAUAGCAUAAUAAUGUGCAGCUCCCAUUGAGGGCAUAGGAGCUGGUCCCUAAAUAUCAAAGUGAACGAAAUCAAAUGGAGCAAAAGUUACAGAUUCACUAAAGGAGCAUUUAGUUAGAUGUAAUUAUAAAUGCAAUGUAGUUAUAGAUGCAUGUAGUUGAAAAUAUAACAGUUACAACUAUAUACAUUCUGUUUGGUUGGAUGUAGUAGAAAGUGCUGCAAAUAUAAAUAAUUUAUUUGAUUGCACGCAGUUGAGAAAUAAUUUUUAAAAUUUUAUCAUUUUAUAUAAUAUGAUAGUGAGAUUGCAUCCAAUGCAAAAAAGAAAAUUUUUUUUGUUUAAAAAAUAAUUAAGUAGGUAAGUAUACUUUUUAUUUAAAGUUACUCUCUCCAAUUACUGUAGUUGGAGCUACGGUCAACUUGGGUGUAGUUCGAAUUGUUGCAAUUGAGCCUCCUCCUGCAAUUCCUACUACAGCAGUUAGAAUUAAAUACAUCAAACCAAACACUGAAUUUGCAUUUGCAUGCAGUUACAACUACAGUGCAGUUGCAACUACAUGCAACAAAACGGCCCCUAACAGUAAAAGCAAGUGCAUGUUGUUUGGCAAGUUUGCAAUCAGCACAACAAAAGUCUUUAUUGAAAGAUACAUAUCCUAAUAAUCCUUUAUUAACCAAAAACUUAAGGCAAGAAAAGGAAACAUGUAAGUCUUUGAUGCCAAAAUUUAGAUGUAGAAGAAAAAGGAAAGAGAAGAGGAAGUAGUAGAAGAGACAGCACAAUAAGUACCCUGGGGAGAGAGAUGAAGAUUAUCAACGACAGCCAACCAGCCAACUCUAUGCCCUGUCGCAACUUGCUUCCCCGUCUUGCAAUCUUGUACAAUUACAACCAGAUAAAUUAAAUAUUUUAGUAAAACCAAGUUCACAAAGUUGUCUAACUAAAAUUAAAUUCAUAGAAAGUUUAGGUACAAGAAGUGUAUUUGGUAAAGAUAGGUUUUCAGAUUGAAGAAGGCCAAUGUGAGUGGCAAUGACGAUAGAGCCAUCGGCUAUUCAAAUUAUAGGAGAUGAUACUGUAGUUGUAUGUUUAGUAAUGCAUGAAGGAUCAUAUGUAAUGUGGUUGGAGGCACCGGAAUUGAAAAACCAAGAAGUAGGAUAAAUACUUGAUGGAGUAGAAGAAGCUGACAAAGAUGAAUUUGUACCAAUAUAUACUAAGAGCUUGUUUAAUCAUUGCCUAUACAUCAUCUGCAGCGAGUAUAGUGGAUAUAGAAGAACAUGCAGAGUUGCAAGAUUGUGGCAACCAAUGAUCAGACAUUGUCGCAGCCUUUUGCUGAUAUAUGUACUUCUUCUUGUUCUACAUAUUGCGAGAAGUUGGUGCUGUACAAAAUUUAACAGUAUGUCCAAACUGCUUGCAGUAGUUGCAUUGCACUUGUGGCAAGUCACGCGGUGGACGUAAGUUUGGUGUAGCGAGGUUGGAUCGCACGUCACGAUGCGCAUCAGAAAAUGGCUUAUAACGAGGGGAGGCAGAAGUAGCAAGACCAGAGGAAUUGUAUGAAAAAUAAAAAUUAACAGUACCUUUGCUUGUUUCUUCAGCAAUUAACUUUGAAGGAGCCACAUCAACAGUAGGAAGCGGUGUGCGAUAAGGAAUAGAGGUACGUACGUACAGAUUCGUAAUCAUCUUGUAAAAGCCAGGAGAAAUUAGACAAGUCGAGUUUCUUCAAGUAUCAGCUGAUACUGAUAGUAAAGAUCAGUAUCAGCUGUCAACUUUGGCUCAGUUAAUGCUAAUUGGUCCCAAAUGAAGGACAUCUGAGAGUGAAAAUCUGAUACGGAUUGGCCCUUCUGUUGCUUCAUUAUACGAAUAUCCAUUUCAAGUUUGUAUUUGCAUGCAAAAUUGGUUUGAUUAUAUAGGGUCGAUAAAAAAUCCCAAACCUCUUUUGCAUUAUCAAAGUUUUUGAAUUGCAUACUAAUAGUAGGACUAACAGCAUUAGCAAUCCAUGUUAAUAUUUUAUUGUUAUUAGUUUCCUACUUUUCAAUAGCAUCAGAGAUGCAUUCAUCACAUUUGUAUUCUCCGUAAAGUACUUCCAAAGAACUUUUCCUUUCAGAAAACUUCUCAUAAGAAAAGCCCAGUGUGUAUAUAUAGUUGGUGCCCUCAAGUUUAACAAUAAUAGGUUGUGCUGACUCCAAAUUCAUUAUGUGGAGAUAAAAAAAGAGAGAGGUUACCAAAAAUAGUUGGGAGUUUUGGUUAUAAGAGAGAGGUGCAUUCAUUGCCUUAAUAUAAGAUUAUUUGCCUUAAUACAGAACGCAAACAAACUGUUUUGUGCCUAAAUAAUUUUAUUUUUAUCAACACUUAUAAUAAGAAACUAUACCACACUUUCAUUGAGAGGCUACGACGCAUGCAUUGUAUGCUCUGAGGUUACUUCAUAGGCAUUAUGGAUCAUGAACUUUAUUUCAGAAUUUAAAAUUAUUGACCUUUAUCUCUAAACCUUUUAAGGACAUGUUUAUUUUAAGUUAGAAAACGGAAUAGAAACUUGAAAGAACCAGAACAGGAGACAGAGUGAUAAAAUGCCUCUAUUUGUUUGGCUUGAAACAGUAAUUGGAAUGAGAAUAAUUCAUUUUCAUUAUAACUGUUUGGAUAAGUAAACAGUAAUGAUUUGAACAACAUAGAUUCACAAUGUCAACAAUAUAAAAUUUGAUUUUAAAUUUGUGUUGAAAUUUGAAUUCAAUAAUUCAAAUUCAUAUUCAAUUCCAAAUUUAAAAGUAAAAUUAAAUGUAGAAAACAAACUUAAAUUAAAUUUAACUUUUGACUAAAAAAAUUAAAUUUUAAUUAGAAUACAAAUUUACUAUCUAAAUUUGUUUUCAAAAUUUGAAUGCAAAUUUAGACUCAUAAUUUAAACUUAAAAUUUAAAUCAAAUUUGAAGAAAAUUCAAAUAACAUAAUUUAAAUAUAAUUCAAAUUCAAAUUCAAAUCAAAAUUCAAAAUUGGAACUACAAAUUAAAAAAUCAAACUUAUAUUAGAAUUCAAAUUUAAACUUAAGAAUUAGAACUCAAAUUUAAAUUUAUGUUUAUAAUUUUAAUUUUGAAUUUAUAAUAUAAUAUGAAUUUAGUUUAAAUUAAUCAGUAUUUGAAUGUAACAAAUUGGUAGUGAAAAAAAAGAAGAAGAAGAAAAAGAAGAAGAAAUGGGUUUUUUUUUUUUUUUUCCAAUCCCUUUUGGAAUCAAUGUAGACUCCAACCUUCAUGGUGGGAGGCAUUUUGAGAGAAUUGGAUUCUCCUCAAAUGAAAAUUGAAAUGUGAAUCUCUUGAAUCAAACAUCGACAAUAGGAGUUACAUUUUUUUAUUCUCAUUCUAACCGUAAGAUCUUUUAAAUCAAACACGCCCUAAAGGUUUAAGGCGAUAAUUUUUAUUGUUCUUCUCUCUGACAAUAAUACAAUUACGAAUAUUAAUUAAUAAGUAUUUUGAAAUAAAGCUGUGCCCGACUCUAGAAAGAAUUGAGAAUUGUAAGAUGUCACUUAAACACCUCAAUAUAAACUUAUAAUUUCAUACCUCAUAAUUUAGGCUUUACCAUCUCACUUUUUUUUUUUUUUUUUUGAGAGAGAGAUAGGUAGCAUGCUACCCGCUUUGUUUAUUUCAUUUAGAAAUAAACUUAGCUGGAAAUGUGAAUCAACUAUAAUUCGAACUUGGGUCUCGGAUACCAACCAUCAAGCCCUUUGCCACUUGCUCUAGGAACGGUCAGUAAUUAAGGCUUUACCAUUUGAUCUGUCAUUUAAACAACUUUGAGAUUUAUGCUAUUUCACUAUAACAGAAGUAGGUUAUAGGGACACAUGUUUGGGACACUUUUAAGUAAGUAUCUCAUUUAUACUAAAACUUAAAAAAACAUUUACUAAUGCCUAAAUAUAAAGCCCAAUCCAACCAAAAAUAAAAGAUUACUCUACUCAACCCACCACACCCAGUCUAUUUGGCCUAAUUACAAAUAGAAAAGAAAAAAAAAGAAAAAUCAAUUACCAUCUUUUCUUCUCUUUUUACUCAAUCUACUGAAAUUCUAGACGAAGAGUCUUUCCUGUCGUCCUCCUCUGCCACUGCAGCCAACGAAAUAGAGUUUCGACGGUUGCUAAAUGCUUAAAUAAGUGUUUGUAAAUUAGCAGCACUCUUUUAUGUUAUAGCGACACCUUUUAAUUGUCACUAUAUACCUAGCGACCCCACAUAUAGCAACACUUUUUAAAAGUGUCGGUAAUUUUAGCUAGCAGCACUUUUUUGACAUGUACCUAUAUUUAAAAGUGUCGCUAUAGAUCGUUUUUGUUGUAGUGAAUUGUAUAAGAAAUGACGAAUAAACUAGUCUCUUGGAGACUAUCCCUAACAAUUUUUUAAUCUAUUUUUAUCUUAAAAAAAUAUUCUAGAUAGAAAUAAUAUUCAAUCAAAAACUUUAUAUUCCACUGAAAUAUAAUAAUUUUUUUAAAAGUAUUAUACUUUGAUAAAAUUCUUUUUUAUAUUAUAUGGUAAAAAAAUUAAAUUUAAAUACAUUUCCUAGGCUUAGGUCCACACCUCUCUUUUUAGGGUUAAUUUUUUUUAUGCCCUUCCAAAAAUUUAUAAUUUCAUUAAAUUGAAUAGAGAGGUAUUAGUGAUAAAUUUGUAUGUUUAAAAGGGUAUAAAUGAUAGUUUGAAUUUUGGAGGAUAAUGAUGACAAUUUGAAGUUUUGGAGGGGUAAGUUGAAAAUUUCCCUUCUUUUUAAAGUUGUAGCGUAGAAAAACGGUGCUCUGGUCAAACGAAACUUUCCCAUCGACACAAUUUCAUUGUUUUCGACACGUCAUCCCCAACGUCACCACUCACUCUCUCUCUCUGAUCCUGUGUUCACCCUCCCCCUACGGAGCACCCUCGUACGCCGAUCAUCACCGUCCAUGUUUUAAUGAACGGCCACGAUUAGCAUCUCAUGGAAAACAACAUUUCUUGCACAAAAUACCUAUUAUCUUCGAUGAUUAUUAUUAUUAUUAUUAUACGCUAACCCCCACGUACGAUUAUUAUUUUGACUAUUGCAUAAAUUCUACUAUGGAGAUGUCAACAUUUGAGUCUACAUUAUUCGUGAGUUUACAAUUUAAUAUACUAAUUCCUUUCAAAGAAUAAUUUGUUAUGUUCUUAACGCUACUUAGAACUCCAUUUGAGACCGAAGAGCACCUCACGUACACUGCAAAUACUUUUUUAUUCAAUCUUAUUAAAUUUUUAUAUUAUAAAAUAUAUUUUAGAUGAUACUUUUUAGAUGAUGUUUUAUUCUAACAUCUUCAAUAUUUGUCAUGUGCUGACAUCAUGAAUAUGUGUUACCAACGAACAUAUUUUUGUGAAGUACGGAUAAAAAUUUUCCGAACACAAUAUUAAAACAUCGGUAUAUUUAUCCAAAUAUAGUUACUUAAUGAUUAGCUCUUUACUUGAUGCUUUUACAAGCAUCGGGACUAUUGCUACCAACAUAUUAAAGUGCCGUUAGUUAUUUUUUAAAGUAUCGUUAAAUAAAUAUUUUGUUGUAGUACAUGAAUUGAACAAAAAAAUUUAGAUUGAAACAUAUUUUAAAUUACCGACCGUCUUUGGAGCAAGUGACAAAUGGCUUGGUAGUUGGUACCCGAGGUCCCAAGUUCGAAUCCUAGUUGAUUCACAUUUCCAACUAAGUUUAUUUCUAAAUGAAAUAAACGAAACAGAUAGUGUGUUACCUAUCUUUCAAAAUAAUAUACAUAUAUUUUAAAAUUUGAACACGCUGUUUUGACGAGAAAUAUUUCGGAAGUUAUUUAACAUAGCGACAUUGUACAAGGUCACCAAAAUAUAUAUAUAUAUAUAUAUAUAUAUAUAUAUAUAUAUAUAUAUAUAUAUAUAUAUAUAUAUAUAUAUAUAUAUAUAUAUAUUGGAGACACCUGUUGGGCCAAUAAGGCGCGGACACAUGGUACCUCGGUAUAGCACAACAGUUACAUUUAAGAGUGGUAAUUUUUGUUGUGCACCGGGCGCAUCAAAAAAAGAGUACUGGCAUGAAUUAAGAGAGGUUACAGUAACCGUGAGCAGUUACAGGCGAUUUUGAUCGGCUGAAAGUGGCCCGAGAAAAUAGGAAUAGUGGCUGAUCAUGGAAGGCAAUAACUGAUCAACUGGGGUGAUCUAUAAAUAGGCCAAUAAUGACCUAAAAAAAGGUCUUUUCACUGUGAACAGAAGACCACCCUUAUUUUCUAUGUAAUUUCUUCGCAUUUUUUAGGAGUAGUUCUACUUGUAAUCUUUCAUUUUUCAGUAUUUACCAUUUUUUCUCUAGGAGUAGAAGUAGACUAGAUCAACCGCGUCUGUAUGCCCAUAGGCACACUCGAUCCCUGUAUUCUUUUCACCAAUUAGUUUCAAUAUAUUUAAAUGUUUUCGGCUAUUCAAGCCGACCAAUCACUGUAUUUUCUUCCAUUCGACUCUUCGGCCGACCUUAGUUUCUGUGCCGUCCGUACAUUCGGCUCAUCCAGCCGAAUCAAUUCUACAGUAGAGAUUUUGAACUCGGCUGAUUCGAUCUCUUGUCAGUCGAAUCGCUUGAUCCAGUCGAAAGACGCAAACUUCGAGGUCACAAUUCGAAGCCGUUUUGCUUCCUUGCAUUAUUUCCGAGGAGAAUUUUUGACCAGAUAAAAAAUAAGGACUUUUGGCUACCAACAAUACCAAAAGGGCCCCACAGGGCUUGAGGAAAGAUUAAAUAGGAAAAAAAAAAAGGUGAGCUUCGGUAAAAUAGUAAAAUGAUGGUCAUCGGGAUUGUAUUUGUGGAUAUGUGAGGGCCCACUUUUAUAAUACCAACUCCGCAAGAAAUCUCGCGUAAAUUUGUCGAAAAAAAAAACUCGCAUAUGGGCUGCUCCAAUUCGCGCGCUCGCGCACCACUCUACGUUUCCAAUUUCUCCUGCACCGUCGGAUCUCGAUCCAACGGCUUGCGAAUUGUUGGUUCCUCGCCAAGUCGCACUCAUGGACCCCACCGCACGACGUAUGCGAUUGCGAAUGCUCGCACUCUCCAUAACAAUUGUUAUAGAAAAAAAAAGAAAAUGGUAAACAUGUGUGGAGACCCCUCAACUAUCGUUCGUUUGAAAUUAGCCCUUUAACUUUUCCAUUUUUUUGGAUUGAGAUUUUCUUUACUUUUAUUUUUUUAAAAGAAAAUUUUGGUUACUUUUAGUUGAAAAUUUUGUUAAAAUUUAUAGUUCUAUUAGUCAUUGAUUACUAAUUAUUUUAGUUUUAUUUACUAAAAAUAGUUGUAAUGAUUAAAUUUAUUAAAUUAAAAAAGUUUAUAAGUAUGGAGAUCUCGAUAAAAGAUUUAAAGUUGGGAGGGUCGUUUUCAAAAUGAUCAACAGUGGAGAGAUUUUUGAUACAUUUUUUUCUAAUAGUAUCAGAACAAUGGCUAUGGACCUAUGGUACACUCCACAAAAAAAAAAAAAAAAAAAAAAAAAAAAAAAAAAAAAAAAUAUAUAUAAUAUAUAUAUAUAAUAUAUAUAUAUAAUAUAUAUAUAUAUAUAUAUAUAUAUAUAUCUUUUAUUAAAUCUAUUUUAAAUUAUAAAUCUAGUAUUUACUGGAACUCCUCUUGUGUCCCCCCUACGACCAGCCAUCUCUCUCGUAAUAUUUUCCACUCUGUUUGUUUUUUUAAAAAAAAAUAUUUUUUUUAAAAGAGAAUAAUAAUAAUAAAAAUAGGACAGAAGAAAUAAAUAACCAAAUAAUCAAUCUGCUUUCUUUGAAACUUCUCCCCCAAUAUUGCUCCCAAUUCUCGGCUCCUAUAUAAUCCCCAAUCCUUCUCACUGCCCCCAAACACGAUCCCUUCUUCUCGCUUCCGUCUGUCUCCUUCUUCGACAUGGCCGCCUGCGUCGAGAACUGUCGGACCAAGUCGACCUUCCUCUGCUGGACGACCGCCGCCGCCGCCGCCGCCGCCGGCGACUCCUCCUGCAAAUUCUCCGUCUGCUCUCCGCGAAGGAGCUGUACAACUCCCAUCGAUCAAUACAGCGACGGUGCUGCUGCCGGCGACGACGACGAAGUGUGGGCUGAGCUGCGGGACGAAGCGCGGUCGGACGUGGAGGACGAGCCGAUCUUGCGGCAGUACUACUCCGACCUCAUCCUCUCCCACCGCUGCCUGGAGUCGGCGCUGGCCGCGCACCUGGCGGGCAAGCUGUGCGUGCCGGGCGUGGUGGCCAGCGGCACGCUGUACGACCUGCUGUUCUCCGCGCUCGCCGGCCGACCUGCGGGCGGCGCGCGACCGCGACCCGGCGUGCGCGAAGAUGGUGCACUGCUUCCUGUACUACAAGGGGUUCCUGGCGCUGCAGGCGCACCGGGCGGCGCACCGGCUGUGGGGGGAGGGGCGGAGGGCGGCGGCGCUGCUGCUGCAGGGGCGCGCGUCGGAGGCGUUCGCGGUGGACAUCCACCCCGGGGCGGCGGUCGGGGAAGGGGUGCUGCUCGACCACGCCACCGGGGUGGUGAUCGGGGAGACGGCGGUGGUGGGGAGCGACGUGUCGAUACUGCAUGGGGUCACGCUCGGGGGCACCGGGAAAGAGAGCGGCGACCGGCACCCGAAGAUCGGGGACGGGGUGCUGAUCGGCGCGGGUACGCACAUCCUGGGCAAUAUAAGGAUCGGGGACGGGGCGAAGAUCGGGGCCGGGUCGGUGGUGCUGAAGGAGGUGCCGGCGCGGACGACGGCGGUGGGGAACCCGGCCAGGCUGGUCGGAGGGAAGGAGAGCCCGGUCCUGUCGGAGGGGUUGGCGGGCUUGACCAUGGACCAAACCUCAUGGUCUCGUGAUUUGUUGUAAACUGAUCAAUUAAAAAUGUAUCUGUUCUAUCAGUUAUACAUCUAUACGUUCCUUCCCAAUGCGGAGUGUGGGCAAGUAGGCCUAAGAGGUUUGGGAGUUCAGUGAGUCAUUGAGCUCCUCUGUUCCACUUUCACAAUAAAACGUGUAAUAUUGGUGUACCAAGAACCAGAUUAAUAGAAUUUAAGCAUUCAGUAGUUAACCAGAAUUGAUAGUAUUAAAUGAGGGAUUCAAAGCACUUAUUCAAUGUUUAGAAGUCAAAGAAAGAAACUUUUUUAAAAAAGAACUUUUCUUUUUAUCUCUUUUUCCUCAUCCUUGCACUUAACUGCUGGUGUACAGUGUUGCGACUUUGGUCACAAUCUUAACCUCAAUCUAUGAGUUUACUAAAAGUAGAUCAUGUCAAAUUUAAUUGAUCAAGACGGUUAGGGUUGGGCUGAAAAUGAAUUGGAUUAUUUAGAUCCUUCACUAGAAGUCACAUUAACACUGAACCAUAAAGUAAUGCACUAACUGUCAGCUCUAAUGAUCCAACCAAUCCAAAAUUAGAUUUAUUGGACUGAGAUUUUUCAACCUUAAUAUAGUAUAUAUACUAGUAUAUAUGCAAGUACUCAGUUGAAUAAUGCAGCCCUACCUGUUGACUUCAGUAUCCACUUCUAGACUACAAGCUCAAGCAUGUAGCCAGCAGGCUUGACUAUAUUUAACAAUCCUUAGCUUAAUCCAGUGGUUGUUAUUGUUGGCUUAAAUGGGUCAGCAUCCUGCUUUGUGCCGGAAGGUCAUGUGGGCCGAGUCAUGUUCGAAAUGACGUGAGGCUGGGUUGGGCCGAGUCAUGUUCGAAGUGGCGUGAGGCCGGAUGGGCCGAGUCACAAUCAAGACUCGUGGAUUCUGUAUCUGUACGCUUUAAGUAAAUUGAUUGCGUAUUUCUAACAGCUCGAGCUUUUGGGAUUAAUGAUUAGCGCCAACGAUUCGACAAGUGGUAUCAGAGCCAGUGGUCACGGGUUCGAUUCCCACAUGCUGCAAAUGUGUGCAGGUGCUGGAGAGGGGAUUGUUGGCGUAAAUUGCCUUGUGGCGAGAGGCCAUGUAGGCCGAGUCAUGUUCGAAGUGGUGUGAGGCCGGGUGGGUCGAGUCAUAAUCGAGAUCCGCGGGUGCUGUAUAAAGCAAAUUCUCCAUAGCUCUAUUUACAAAAUUGAGAAAUGAUUUGGUACUUUAUUUUUAAAAAAAUAAAAAAGAUUUUAAACGUUGAUUAAUAGAGGGUAAAGAUGUAAUUUUAAUAUUUAGCAGGUAAAAGGGUUCCUUCAUUCGAGAUUAGUUUGGUAAUUAAACUAUGCAACAUUUAAAAAAACUUUUAAUUGAUAUCCUAAAUUUACGCAUUAAUUUGCAAUAGUUUGGAUUAUAGAUUGAUUACCUAGUAUCGUUUGGUUCGGGGAUAAGCAAAAAGUGGCUAUUCCAGGAAUAGGUAUAAAUUGAGAUAUAAGCGGGGAUUAGAUCAAUUUUGCGUUUGGAUGAAAAUUGGGUUAUUUCUGGGAAUAAAAAAAAUAGCGUUUGGUUAGGUAAGAUUGAAUAAGAAGGAUAGUAGAUUUUAUAAAUAAAAAGUAAUGAUAUUAUCCUUUUAUUAUAUUUGAAUUUGAAUUUUUAAAAUUUUAAAUUUAUAUUUUUAAAUUUAAAAUUUUAACUUUAAAAUUUUAAAAUUUGAAAUUUAAAAUCUCAAAUUUUAAAUUCAAAAUUUUAAAUUUUAAAUUUCAAACUUUAAAUUUAAGAUCAAAUUUAAAUUUUAAAAAAUAAAUAAUCAAAUUUUAAAUUUAAAAAAUUUAAAAUAUCAAAUUUUAAAUUUCAAAAAUUUAAAAUAUCAAAAUUUAAAUUUAAAAUUUAAAAUUAUAAACUUUAAUUUUGAGAUUAUAAAUUAUAAAUUUUAAAAAUUUAAAUUUUUAAUUUUUAAAAUUUAAAUUUUUAAUUUUAAAAUUUUAAAGAAUAAGAGUGGGAACAAUUAUAAAAUAAUUUAUUAUAAUAAUAUAUAAAUUUUUUGAAAAUUCUACUUAAAACUUAAAUUUAAUAAAAAGAAUUUAUUAUAAUAUUUAAAUAUAUUUAUUAUAAUUUAUUAGAAUAUUUAAAUAAUAAAUAAUAUGUAUUAAUAUAGUACAAUUAAUAAUUUUAAUAAUAAAAAUAAUGUAUUUAAUAUAUACAUAUUAAAUUUAUAUAAUUUAGUUUUAGUUCAAUUUAAAUUUUAAUUAAGUUUGAAAUUAAGUAUUGGAAUAGCACUAUUCCACCAAAAUGGUAGAAUAGUAAAUUCAUUGCUAUUCCAGGAUAACUGAGAAUAGCAAAGUUUGACCGGGAUAAAAUAUCCCCGCCAAAUUUCAUCCCGUUUGGCAGAAUAGCGGGGAUAACUUUCGUUAUCCCCGCUUAUCCCCCGAACCAAACGGGUUAGUGUUUCUAUAGGCAUUAAUUUAAAUUAUAGGAAUUUUAGAAAUAAUUCUAUUUCUAAAUACGUUGAAUUUAAAUAUUAAAUAUUUAAAAAUUAAAAUAUUAAAAUUUAAGUUAGAGGAAUUUUGUAUUACUAUUGAAAAUUUUUUUAAUAUUGUUAAAUAUUUUAAUUCAACAUAUUUAAUAUAUUUAAGAAACUUUUAAAUUCCUAUAGUUUAGACAUUAAUUUUGUAUCACUUACUUAAAAAAAUUGAAUAUAGGUAAAAAAAUUGUAAAUUAAAUGUGUUUAAUAUGUUAAAAAAAAAUUCGAAUUGUUCUACUCUAGACAUUAAUUUUGUAUCACUAUUUAAAAAAAUUUGUAAUAUUGGUAAAUAUUUAAAUUUAACAUAUUUAAUAUGUUUAACAAAAUUAUGAAUUCAUCUUAGACAUUAAUUUUACAUUACUAAUUUUAAAAUUGAAUGUGGGCAAAUAUUAAAUUCAACAUAUUUAAUAUGUUGAAUUUAGUGCCAUGUGGUUUCUUUUUUAUUUUUUUAUUAUCAAUUCUAUUAAUUUUUUUCGUGAAAUUAGUAACAAAGUUAAAACUAAAGGGUACUAAAGUGAAUAUUCGAUAAACUUAGGUGGACUAAUCUGAAGUUCUUUGUAUAUAAUUUAAUAAAAUAUUAACGAAAAAACUGACCAAAAGAUAAAAAUAAAAUCAUAGGACACUAACUUGAUAAACUUUAAACCACAGGGUACUAAAGUAAGAAAAUAUAAAAUCAUAGGGUAGUAUUUGAAGUUUACCUUUGUUAUUUUUGGCAUAUGCCUCUAUUUGAGGAGAUAGUCGAGUCCACCUACUAUACUAUCAAUAACACUAAGCGUCUGGUGCUAUCGAGUUUUUUGCCGUUAGAUUAUCUCUUUGACUAUUUUUAUCCGUUAGAUCAUACUAUUCAACCAACCAACCACCCACUCAAAUCUAGAGAACUACUAUCAUCCUAACUGCACAUUCCCUAAUUCAAGAGCCGAAAACCUACCAGCAUCAAUGACUUAGUACUAUUAAUAAUAUUCUAGUCUAGUUCGAGAAAGUCUACUAUACAUAUUUAUAUUUCAUUAUCAACAAUCGGUCAAUCACAUUAUUUUUUUUAGAAAAAAAGUAUAAUAAAAAUAUUUUUUUAAUAAUCAUAAUGUAACAGCUGAAUUCAAAAAAAAAUAUUUAAUUUGUUGGAGAUGCUAACUCAGCAAUAUAACUAGCCAGUGUUUGGAUUGGGGAUAAGGGGAGGGAUAACCUCUUAUCCCCCUUUAUACCCAAAUGCAAAUUUUUUACCCGAAAAUAGUAGUUCUCGGUUAUCUAAAAUAAUCUGGUAUAACUAUCUACAUCAACACCUCUAUUUUCUAUACAUAACUAUUUAUUAUUUUUCUUAUUCCAUAUUAUCUAUCCAAAGUCCAAACGUCAUUUUUUUUAUUUUCGGGAACAACCAAUUUUCAUCCAAACGCUAUUUUUUUUAUCCUCAUACUUGUACUUAUUUCUGUAAUAACUAGUUCUUUCUUAUACCUAAACCAGACGCUUGUACGCUACCCUAGUGUAUGCUAAAUUUUUUUUCCAUUUAAAGGUGAAGGCCCACCGAAGCCAUGAGGAUCCAACACAUAACCCACAUUAAAUGGAAUUAAGAGUUGGAUCCGGAUUUGUCGUAAGCAUCCGGAUCCGAGAUCGCCAUUUAUCCAAACGGACCAAACCCUAGUGUUUCGCCUUGGGACACAUCACACGUUGGCUCCUCCUGUUGGUUCGAACCUUUUGUAAUUUUCCUUCUUUGUAUUUUCCUUUUCACUCCCUCCUCUCGAGCACGCUUCAUACGCUUUGCUCGCGCGUAUACUCGUUCUCGUUCUUAGAUUCUCGAAGAAGAGGUAAUGCAUUUUCCCCAAAUCCUUCUUUUUGAUCCUUCUAACCGUUAAAAAAAAGAAAUACUUUGUCGCAAGAUUAUUCGAUUAGUCCCAAAGAUGGGGUUUUUGCUUUAUUAUUAUUAUUUUUUGCAUAUGCACGCUUAUUGUUUGAUGAAAUGCCUCUGAAGAUUCGUUUGUGUUCAUCUACUUGUUUUAGCUCUGCAUAUAAUGGUGGGGCUCUCGGAGGGGGAGAAGCAUUUCAUUCGCGGCGGGAUCGCGCAAGACCUUCGAUCGGACGGCCGUAAGAGGCUUCAGUUCCGGUCUAUCUCCGUCGAGACCGGAGUCAUCCCGCAGGUUGCAUCUUAUAUUCCAUCAAAAAAUUUGCUUAUUGGGUUAAAGUAUGAGAAUUUAUUUCAUUCUCUAUGUAUUCUUUGUGCUUGAAUUUCUGGGGCUUCAUGAUAGGCAAAUGGUUCGGCUCGUGUUAGGUUGGGUGCGACGGACGUCAUAGCUAGCAUUAAGGUACGAAUAUUUUGCUCUAAUAUUUGUUUAAGGCAUGUAUGUAUUCAGCAAGUAUUUAAGCGCCCAUCGACACUGAUUGUGUCUAUUGGUCAUAAUAUGCCGACAAAAUAUCGGUACGAUACCAUGGCACGGUUCAAAAUCAUUCUUUUUUUUUUUUUUUGAAAUUAGCAAGUAGUUACAUCAAUAAAAUGCAAAAAGAUAUGAUAAAGAUAUAUAAUAAUCAAUUAGAAUAUAUUGAUGCAAAAAAAAAAAAAAUUCAUAUCAUUGCGUGUCAGCAUAUAGGUAUUUUUGUGAAUGACACAUAUUAGCAUGGCAUGUCAUGCACCAUGCUAUGCUGUGCCACGACACUUAAAUCCUUGGUAUUUAGCUGAUAGAGAGUGCAUCAUUUUUGCUUUGGUGGUAUUGGAUUAGUGUUGCAUCUUGGCGACAAUUUGAAUAGUGGUUUUAUGAUUAGUCAAGUGCGGUUGCUGACUAUAUGUUCGUAAAAUUUGCAUACCUGUAAUGUCGACGUGGACGAGUAGGUUACACUGUAAACGGCAUAAGGAGAAUCAACUUUAUUUGUGAUGACUGUUGACAGUGUUGAUUAAGUUGAACAUAGGAAACAGUCUUAGAUGGUUUGAUUGCAUAAAAGAGAGCUUUGUAAUGGACUAAUAAGGAGGAAUAAUCAAAUUAACAGUUGAUGUUGCUACUAGGAGGGGAAGAUCAAAUAAGGUUUGGCCUGUUUGAAUAUAUAUAAGUCGUGAGAAAAGAUGCAACAGCUUUUAGACUUUUGGACAUAACCCUGAAAAUCAAGCUGAUUACUUGAACAUAGUCCGUGCAGGGAAAUCCACAUAUCAGGACUUGCAAAGCAAAAAACCUUAAUGCAAUGUAGGUUACAUAUUUGUGUCCUUUUUAUGUUAAUCUUUAAAAAUCAUUCACUGUAUCGUGCUAACUUUGUGUUUUACAGGCUGAACUUGGGAAGCCAAGCAUUCUCCGACCUGACAAAGGAAAAGUGUCUAUAUUUGUUGAUUGCAGCCCUACAGCAGCUCCUAUGUUUGAGGUUGGCCGACUGGGCUGCACAGUGUGUUCUUUUGCUUUAAGUGUAGAUUGAAAUUUCAUGUAUGUUUGGUCAUGUGCUUCUUGCUUCUCUUGUUUGCCUCCUUUUUGCAUAUUUUAUAAGAAGGAAUGUAACAUUUUCUUGUAUAAGUUCGGUGGUUGCCUUUUAGUGUUAGUUGUUAAAUAUAAUAUUUGUUCCUGGUGUUACUCGGUUACACUAUCUUCCUUAUUAGUUCAAACUUUGUGCAUCUUCUUAGGGCCGAGGUGGUGAAGAGUUAUCAAAUGACCUCUCUGUUGCACUUCAGAGAUGCUUACUUGGUGGUACGAGCGGGGCAGGUAUUAAACUUCAGAACAUCGCUGAGGAAGUUUAUUAUAAAAAAUAUAGAAUAAGAAUGGAUGUACGAUUAUUAUUUGGUUCCUUUAAUGUCAUAUUAAUGAUAGCGCUGCCAUGCAUUAAAGGCCAAAUUAUUGAGGUUUGCAUCCCUGAUUGGUGCCUAAUGAAAAGCAUUCCAAAUGUAUUGUUUCCUCCGGCAAAAAAAUUUUAUCUUCUCUCUGGCAAUUAAUAUGCUUGUGAAAUUAUGAUUAUUGAAAUAUGAGGGCCUCUUUUACAUGCCACUGAUUUAUAUUUGAAUAAUGAAUAUAUUACCUGCUUUGCUGUUUCUAGAGUAUAAAUAUAUAUCGUCAGCGCAUGACAGAGUUACUGCUUUUAUUGCUUAUUCUUGCAAUGAUUUUGGUGUUACUGCUUUCAUCACUUAUUCUUGCAAUGAUUUUCAAUGGAAUUCUAACUUGCAUCCACGGUAACAUGCCUUCGAUGCUGUCAUAUCAUUUUAAUGUUACCAUUUUGCAUCACUUGCUCUACGAAGUGCAUGGUAUGGAAGAAAUGAAAUGCUUACUCAUUGCUCUCAUGUUCUAAGACAACAUUUAUCUAACUUGUGGUUUGUUAUUUGACUUAAUUGAUUCAUUAUGGUUUUGGUUGGAUCUGAAUUCCAGGGGCUGGAAUUGAUCUCUCCUCUCUGAUUAUCGUUGACGGUAAAGUUUGCUGGGAUCUUUAUAUUGAUGGACUUGUCAUCAGUUCAGAUGGUAAUUUACUGGAUGCGUUAGCUGCUGCUAUUAAGGUAAUAAUUUUUGGAUUGGAUUGUCGUUACUUAAUUCAGUUUCCACUGCAGCAUUCUGGAGUACUACCUUAAGUAAAAGAAGAAUCUAUUAAAUAAUUGAUCUGAGUUUUUAUGACCAAUUGUCCAGUUGAAACUAGGUCCUGAAUGAGAGUAUGGAGCUUGCCACUACCACAUCCUAUAAGUCUAUAUUAGGUUUUACACCUUCCUUUUAUUGAACUGUUUGGUGUUUUUCCUCUAUAGCCUAUUACCAUUGGCGUUAAUGUUAUUUUGUUUUUUAUUUUUUAUUUUUCAUUUGUUGCUUCGUAUUGAAAUUACGAGUUUGACAGUAAGCUCUAUGUUUUAUACUUUAGCUCUAUGUUUUAUACUUGUGGGAUAAGCCUAUUGUCGGGACUUGGAACAUUUUUCUGGCCAAAACUUAUUUUAGUAUUUUUAUUGUUUGUCCAGAUUACAUGGCUUUUUGUGCUUGAGACCCAAUUGCUAUACGAGCUUUAAUCCCUUGCAAUUCAUUUAGAGAAUCCCAAUAUGAAGGGAAAUCAGACCACAAGGAGAUCUUAAAACAUAAAAGGAGUAGAAAGAGGUUUUAAAAGAAGAGUUAAUGUCUUUUCUCACCAUGUUUAUUAUUUUUGUAUUGGGCUUUUGGGAAAUUGUAGAGUGUAGUUGUUAUUCAUUUGCCUCCAUAUAUAGUUAGAAUCUAGCUAGACAUUUCUUACUUGAAAAUUUGAAACUUGUGGAUUAAAAAGAAUUGACUGAGAGUAAUUAAAAUCAUUCUCAUGCUUUGGGAAGUAUUUUGCACCAUGCAAUAUCAACACAUGAUAAGAACUGAUGCAAUUUAGUUCUGUCAGAUCUGUUAAUAAAGCAAUUCUCUUUCUUUGCUAGGUUGCCUUAAGCAAUACUGGAAUACCAAAAGUUAGUGUUCUUGGUGCCUCAUCCGAUGAGCAACCAGAUGUUGAUGUCAGUGAUGAAGAGUUUCUACAGUUUGACACUUCUGGAGUUCCAGUUAUAGUAACUUUAACCAAAGUAAGUUGCUUUCAUUGAUCGCAAGUACUAUAAACUGUAGUUAUCGAACAUCUAUUAGACAUUGACCUGCUCAGUAAUCGAGUCACUGGGUCAUUGGUCAGAGCAGUGUGUCAACUGGUUGGACUGCUGGUUUAAUAACAUAUGAUAUAAGAUAUAAAAUAACCAGUCCAAAUUACAAGAAAAAUUAAAUUGUCUAAUGUAUUGUGUUCAAUAAAACUUUCGUGUGAUUGGGUGAGGGAGGAUGGCGAAUUGCUUGUUGCUCUAUGCAUUCGCAGCAUUUGUUUGGCAGUAAAAAGAAAAAAAAGGAAAAAGAAAAUUUGCUAGUUACUUUUUUUGGCAUCCUUUUCAUUUUAAGAUGUUGUCCUGUGUCUAGCUGCUGUAUGUUGCAAGCUAAGUAACAAUGAUACAAAACGAGAGGUGCACCCAAUCACACAAAAUUUGUGUUUAAUUAAAAAAAAAAGAAAAAGGAAAAUAAGCAACCAAACUAGGCCUUAUAGAAUAUAGCAAAUAAUCAUCAAAAAUAAAAAUAAUAUAAACCUAACUCUUAUCAUAUAUAAUGUGUGGGUUCAUUCAAAUAUUAUAGAACUACUUUGUAAGAACCUUCGAAAUUUGUAGUGAUUUCACUUUUAAGCACAUCUGAGGCUCUAGUACAAUGGUUGACUUCUUUAUCCUUCUCUUAUAUGUUGUGAAAUUGAAUCCCAUCAAUGGCAUAACAUGCAAUAUAUGUUUAUUUUCUCUCUGAAACUGUAAACACUUUCUAUAGGUUGUCAAAUUGAACCUUUAUAGAUACAUAUAGAUGAACUCUUUAUGACCUUCAUAAAAUAAACUGUCGGAUACUCUUCUUCAUGUGAUUCAAGGUGACAUUUUUCGUUUCUUGGCACCACCAAAUUAUUCACUUGAAGUAAGUGGCAUAUUUCUUCUUUUUACUAGGUUGGCAGGCACUAUAUAGUAGAUGCUACAUCAGAAGAGGAAUCUCAAAUGAGCUCUGCUAUUUCGGUCUCGGUGAAUAGGCGGGGGCAAAUAUGCGGGCUAACCAAACGUGGAGGCGCAGGAUUGGACCCAAGCGUCGUUCUUGACAUGAUAUCUGUAGCGAACAGCGUAAGCCAACAACUAAUAACCGUAUUAGAUUCAGAGAUCGCAGCCGCUGAAGCAUCCGAGGAAUGAGUGAGAUUUUAUCUGCUUUUACUAACAAGGAUGCGAAUACUUGUUGUAGACAUUAUUGUGAGAUCUAGUGAAUUGGAAGUGGUAAUGCAUUAAUGCUCUCCCAGAGAACAAUCCAAUGCCAAGUAUUUAGUUCUAUGGGAGAUGUGAUUAGCUUAGUGGGUCACUUGAUAAAUACUUUGCUUGCUUGCAAAUUGCAAUGGAUAACUUAACCUCAGAAGCAUCAUAAAUUCUUUUCUGAAGCUUUGUAUUGUUCUCAUUGCAUAUUCAAAGGAUUUUUGUUUUAACUACUAGAUCAGAUAGGUGAGAUCCAAAAGUCUUAAACCUUUCCCUCAAUAAACUCUUCUGAUCAAUGUGAUUAUUUCUUCGAUAAAGACAUAAAUGUGGGGCUGUGGAGUGUUUGGUUAAUUUUUGGCUCAGUAAAAAUGGGUAGAGUGCACCAAAACCCUGUAUAAUUUAGGUAAUUUUUUUGGUUAAAAAAUAAGUUCAAAAUAUUUUCUAAUCGUUCAAGAUAAAAUAAAGAUACAAAUAAA